CGAGAGUCGUCACGCACACACGCAUAGACAUAGACAUGCAUAUCCGUGUUUACGUAAAAUUCCAUCUCCAUCUCCAUCUCCAAUCAUAUUUGUCCAACUGGCACAUUAUUUACGUUGUUAAUUAUAUACGCAGCAAUAUUAACAUACAACAUCUCUUGUUUGCGGGCGUCCGGACCGCUGCCACGCCCGCUCCUGACCAACCCGAACCCUCUUCAUCACCCAUGUGUGCUUCCUGCUCGAAACGGUUAGUGCUGCAUUCAUGCCCGGCCAGAGUGGACGUGGCCUCUCACUGGCGCCGUCAUUGAAGCGGCACGCCGGCUAAGAGAGCGUCGCCCGCGUUGCUUCCUAGUGCAUGCGACUGCUCCGUGUUCAAAGGUCACAAUAGCUGGCCACAACAUGCAUGUAAAAAGUUCUUGGGAGUCCGUGCUAUAGCUAGUUGUCCUCCCCCAACUCGUCAAUCUCUUCCAGUAGUGCUAGUACUCCAUGGCACGAUCCAUCCACAAGCAGGCGGGAAAGUUGUUACUCGGUUUGCGGUGAGUGGCAUGACGAGCGACCGUGUGGGGUCGAGCCAUGGAGGAGGGUGAGACACAAACGCGACAGGUGCGAUUUAAACGUUGGUUUUGCUCGAUGGUGCGAUCCAACGAAAUGAAACGUUGGUUUCUCUCUGUUUCCAUUUUUUCUCGGGAAAAAUAGAAACUUUCCACUCAUUUUCAUUCCUACUCCAAGGUUGCCCCGUUACAACAUUCCAUCAAAUACAAAGGAAAACUAACACGCAUGCUGAUGCAUCUCAAUGAUUCACAGAUCAUAGCCAAUAUUUACUUCACAACUAAAGAUAAAAGUUGUGAAAGCAUGUACAAAAGAAAAACUAUUGAUGGGGUCACUACGACUUAAACCCUAAAACCUACACAUUAUUUAAUUUCCUGGCUAGGUAGAACCUAUCGAAGGAAAGACUGCUAGCAGCCUCGGAUCAUACGAUGCUUUUAUGCAGUUCCACUAAAAUCGAGCUGAGCAUCCCUGAUGGCAAAGAUAUUGAAGAAGAGUGAUCAGAAUAAUAGUACUGGCACUAGUUCAUGAGACAUAAACUCAUCACAAAUAGAAGCCGGUAGAAGUAGAGAAAGAUCGACAUGGAGAUGGAGCAACGUGGGGAGCUGCGGCAGUGGAGCAAGCCGGCUCCAAAAGGAAGAUGUACUACCUGUGACGUCGGGCUGUAGCUAGAAGGGCGGUUGGGACGCGGCAUCAGCCCAUACCGUGGGGAACCCCGAUUGGGACGCACCGACUGUGGGUUUUCUCCCUCGCCGUCGCUGAUGUCAACCGCGUCUCCCAGUGGCGGGAUCAGGCCGGAUAUGUGACCGGCGGUGUGGCCACCAUCGUUCUAUGCUUGUGAAGAGAGCAACCCAAGCCAGCAAGCUUGUAGCUUAGGCUCCUGCUAGUGUAUAUAUAGUGGUUUUAUUUUUCUCUCCAUAUCAACCAUUUAUAUUGUGUACGUGUCAUUGAAGAGUGAAAUGAUGGUUGCUUCUUCCGACUAACUUACUGUGUGAUUUGACUGCUCCUUGGUGCCCCCUACAUGAACUCCUCCUACGUGUAUGACCGUUUGUGAGUCUCACUUGUACUUAUCUCUAUUUUCUUGCAUGAAUCAUAGACAGGAUGUGCAUAGAGGAAUUUUGUUACUGCACGUUGUUACGUAGUACUAUACUACUAGGCCCUACUCCCUCCUUCCGGUUCACUACUGGUAUUCCCUCCGUCCUGGCUUAUUGGUCCCCUUUGUACUCAAUUCAUGGGCUCGUUUUCCUCAUGAAAAUUGUCUUUAGCAAUGUAUUAAUAUCGGGAAUGCAUGCAUAAACAACGAACGAUUAAACCUUGCAUGCAACAUUUUGACAAAGCAUUGACUUAUGAACAUGUGAAUGUAAGGGACUACAACCUCGUGCAUGCAUGCAACAGUCACACGUACACAUGGAUGCAAAAACGUGUGCGACGCCCUAAUGCAUGCAUGUCCGAGCACACAACUGAACACACACAGUCACACUCCAAGUGCUCAACCUACAUGUGCAUGCACACACAUACUCAGCCAGGGUGAGCUAGUGACCAUAUAAACACUGGAAAAUGUAUAUAUUGAGCGCAAUGAGCAUAUUAUGAAGUCCACUGACCGUACUUUUACAAAUAUACAGUGACAAACAGUGUAUUUAUCUCGUUUGAAAUUAAGCCAUAUUAACCAGAGAGGAGGCAGUAUGGACUAGCAUUACUUUGUUGUGUCCCGUCAACUUGUCGAACGAGGAAUACUUCCUUAAUUACUCUUAUCCCCAAGAAGUUAAGCCCUGAAGUGGUUGAUGAUUUUCGGCCCAUCUCAUUGACCAACACUUGCUUGAAGUUUUUAACUAAACCGCUGGCUAGUCGUCUUCAGAAAGUGAUCCUGAGAUGUUUCCAUCAUAAUCAAUAUGGUUUUCUUUGUUGUCGAUCUAUUCAAGAUUGUCUGGCUUGGUGUUUCGAAUACAUUCAUCAAUGUAAAGCUUCAACGCGUCCCAUCAUCCUCCUCAGGCUUGAUUUUACGAAGGCAUUCGAUACAAUUGAGCAUGAAGUUAUUCUCAGAAUCUUGUAAUGCAAGGGUUUUGAUAAUCGUUGGACUGGCUGGAUUAAUAGCAUCUUGUCUACGGGAUCUUCUUCCGUGCUCUUAAACGGGGUGCCAGGCAAUCACUUUGUCUGCAUAUCGGGCGUUCGUCAAGGGGAUCCUUUAUCUCUGUUAUUAUUUGUGAUUGUAGUUGAUUUGCUCCAGUCAGUGGUCAACGAGAUGUGCUCCAGGAACAUUCUUUCAUUACCAAUCCCAACCAGUUCCAAUGAUUACCCGAUUGUCCAAUAUGCGGAUGAUACCCUCAUUGUCCUACCUGCGAUAGACGUUCAACUCAUUGCCUUCAAGGAGAUGCUUGACACCUUUGCGGUUUCAAUAGGAUUGCGUGUCAACUUCAGCAAAUCCUCCCUUAUUCCAAUCAAUAUGAGUGCCGAGGAGGGCGCUAGGGUUGCCAGUUUGCUCGGAUGUGAUGUUGGCUCCAUGCCGUUCACAUAUCUAGGGUUACCCAUGGGAACUUCUAGACCUACAAUCUAUGGCCUACUGCCUCUGGUUGAUCGCAUUGAGCGCCAUUUAUCUGCUUCCUCUUGCCUCCUGAAUCAAGGGAGCCGUCUACACCUGCUUCAAUCAGUGUUGUGUUUCAUGCCGAUUUAUUUCUUGUGUACACUCUCUCUUCCCAAGGGCAUUUUGCAGUAGAUUGAGCGAAUCAUGCGAGAAUGUUUGUGGAGAGGAAACACGGAUAACCCACGCCAAUCAUUGGCUGCUUGGGAUUUGGUCUGUCGGCCUAAGAAGUACGGUGGUCUGGGUGUUCUUAAUUUGGGAAUUCAAAAUGAGGCCUUGUUGCUCAAGCACCUCUUCAAGUUUUUUAACAGGGUUGACAUGCCUUGGGUCACAUUAAUUUGGGACACUUAUUAUGCUUCCUCACCGCCACAAGUUACUCAGAGCUAUGGCUCCUUUUGGGGGCGUGAUGUCAUGCAUUUAUAUAACAACUUCUGCAAGUUAUCUGUUCCACAAGUGUAUGCAGGCAACACGGUGGUCUUUUGGCUUGAUCGAUGGCAGUUGGGUAAUAAUGUUGUCCUAAUGCAUGAGCAGUUCCCACGGCUUCAUUCAUUUGUGAUUGAUGAUAUGAUUACAAUCAAAUACUUUAUGGAGCGGCCUGAUGCCUCUGAUCACUUCCAUCUGCCUCUGUAACAUGAGGCUUAUAUUGAGUUCACCCAACUCCAGUCUCUGCUGUCACUGAUCAACCUGGAUGAGGAAAGAAAGGACAUCUGGAAAUGGCCAUCUAAAUAUGGGGAUUUUAAGUCAAAGAUUUACUAUGAGUCUUGCUUCUCCCACCUGGUGGUUGAUCCCAUUUUCAAAUGGAUUUGGAAGUGUGCAUGCAUGCUCAAGUUCAAGGUGUUUGGAUGGCUUCUCUUAAUGGACCGUUUGAAUACUAGGGAUAUGAUGCAGUGCCGACACUGGAUCAUAUAGGAUGACACAUGUGUUCUAUGCCACUGUGCUACUCAUGAAGAUCGUGCACAUCUCUUCUUUCCUUGCAACUUUAGUCAAAGGGUUUGGAACCACCUUGGGAUUUCUUGGAUUGUUCAACUGAACCAGACUACAUAUGAGAUGGCUCUAUCAGCUAGGAGGGAUUUUGGCCUUCCUUUUUUCACAGAGGUUGUCUUCACUGCUACAUGGAAUAUUUGGACACAAAGGAAUGGGAAGAUCUUCGGAAAUGAGUUGUCUUCCUUCACAUCUUGGAGGAGGAAUUUAUCCAUGACAUUUCUUUUUUGGCUCAUAGAAUUAAAUGUAAAUAUAAACAUAGCUUAAUCUCCUGGAUAGCUACCCUUUCUUAGACCUCUUUGUAAGUAUUUUCCUUUUGUUUUUCUUGUAAAUUGUAAUCUUGUAAUUCUCUGGUUCUUUAUCAAAAAGAACUGUGAGGCUGUUCCUUGCAGUAUAUAGUCAAAAAAAACUUGUCGAACGAGGAGAAGCUUGCAGGACGGGAGAAGCUUGCGCGCGGUGGCUCGCAGGACAAGGAGAAACUUUUGACUAAUGCAAGCUCUCCCUCGCUCAGGCAGUGGACGUGCAACAGCUAAUUCGGUGUCAGAUUUCCAGAAGCAUACACUAUACUAGUUCUAUUAUUGUUCGACUUCCUGAAGAGGCGAACAGCCAAGCGCAAAGUUUACUAGUACUAGUACUACUACUAUAGUCUAUAGAGGUAUGUACUAUACUACUAGGAACCGGAUGGAGGAGCGUCUGCACUCUUUUAUAUUUUAAAAUGUGAUAAAGCAAUCUUCAACACAUUUGGUUCUCUUCGACGGUUCUUGCAUGUGAUAAUGGAAGUUGAUUGCAUGGAACACUCGCCACAAUUCUCGCUUAAUUCUGGAUCAUAUCCUGUUGCAAAUAGGAGCGCUCGGUAAUAUUUCCUAUUUUUUUGUUAUUCAGCAUGUAAACAUGUCAGCAAACCUUGCGGCACAUCUUUGUGCGAACCGUGCUUGCUGCACUUUGAAUGUGGCCGAGAGCUGGCUUCAUGAAACACCUCGCUUCCUUUUUUUGCGGGGUACCUCGCUUCCUAGUGACCGGUCUCUUGGCUGAUCGUCCUAAGAAUGCUUAUAUAUGAAUAAAGCUCUCUUGUUUACCCACAAAAAAUAUUAAGCAAUAUUAACUGGAAAGGAGGGAGUAUGGACUAGCACUACUUUUUGGUGUGUCCCGUCAACUCGCAAAACGAGGAGAAGCUUGCACGACAAGGUGAAGCUCGCUUACGCCUUUUGACUAAUGUAACCUACCCUCGCCCAGGCGGUGGACAUGCAUCGGUUCAUUCGGUGUCAGAUUGCUAGAGGCAUACACUGUAGUACCCAACAUAUGGAGUACCAUCAUUGUUCGACUUCACGAAGAGGCGAAAAUCCAAGCGCAAGUGAGGGAGUCCCGGAUUAGGGGGUGUCCGGAUAGCCAGACUACCAUCAUCGGCCGAACCAUCAUCAGCCGGACUAUCAUCAUCGACCGGACUACAAGACUAUGAAGAUACAAGAUUGAAGACUUUGUCCCAUGUCCGGAUGGGACUUUCCUUGGCGUGGAAGGAAAGCUUGGCGAUAUGGAUAUGUAGAUCUCCUACCAUUGUAACCGACUCUAUGUAACCCUAGCCCUCUCCGGUGUCUAUAUAAACUGGAUGGCUCUAGUCCGUAGGACACAACAACAACCAUUACAAUCAUACCAUAGGCUAGCUUCUAGGGUUUAGCCUCCUUGAUCUCGUGGUAGAUCCACUCUUGUAAACAUCCACAAUAUCAAUAUCAAUCAAGAAAGACGUAGGGUUUUACCUCCAUCAAGAGGGCCCGAACCUGGGUAAAACAUCGUGUCCCUUGUCUCCUGUUACCAUCCGCCUAGACGCACAGUUCGGGACCCCCUACCUGAGAUCCGCCGGUUUUGACACCGACAUUGGUGCUUUCAUUGAGAGUUCCUCUGUGCCGUCACCGAUAGGAAGGAUGCCUCCUCCCGUCUUCAAGGACGGUAUUUUCGCCAAAGGAGCCUUGGCCGCCGGCCAGACUAUCCGGCUAGGUGGUUUUCUUAUGACCGCCUGUCCGGCCACCGCUUCGACAAUGACCUCUCGAGUCGUCAAAAGCAAUCUUCACGUCAGCUCGGAAUUCGCCAAGCGGCUGGAUCCAAUAGAGCUCUCGUCCGUAAACGAGCUCUUGGAUCGCAUCGCCACCCUGGGAGCCACUACAGACUACAAUCAGAUUGGGCUUAAAACCGAUCUGAGAGAGAUUAACUCUCCCCAGGUCACCACCACGUUGCAGUGGUAGAGGAACAAUGCGGCGACUCUUCUCCUGUAUUGAAAACUAGUCAUGUCCGGGCUCCCGAUCCCCCCCAUGCCGGAUUCCCGCGGAGGGACGGACUUCGAUCAAGCACUGAACUUAAAGUCGGGCAUCGGACCAGACUCGUUGGACAACGUCCAGCAAUCCAAGCUUCCAAAUUUGGAAACUUCUCGGCCUUCGAGCCUUGAGAUGGGUAGGGUUCCGGACUUAAUUCCACCCACCCGCCCAGACAUAUGCGAUCUAUCUCUAAUCCGGCAAGAGCCCGCUGAGACAGUACAUCACUACUGGGCCAGAUUCCUCCUGGUUAUGGAUAGGAUAAAGGACUGCCGAGAGGAAAAUGCAAUCUCAAUUUUUUGCAAUAAUUGCACGGAUGAGGGAAUCUUGAACGCCGUCAGCCGUCGUGAAAUUACACGCUUCGCCGACCUGGCGUCCAUAGUACGAAAGUACUGUGCGAUGGAGAGUUUCCGGACAACCAAAAAUAAGUUUUGGGACAAUCCGGCCCCGAAUACAACCCUAGUCCGCAACAAAAGGGUGCAUUACACUCAGGCACCAGAUACAAAAACCAAAAAGCAAAAAACCCAUAAAGGGCACGGAACCGUACUGGAGGGAUGGCUUAGCGGACCCUGUAAAAUUCACAGUACAGAAGGCGCCGUCCCAACACAUAGCCUUCGAGCAUGUUGGAUAUUACGGCAGGUGGCCAAAAGUGGAGAGGAGCUUCUAGCCCCAGAAAACCAGUCCAACAACAUCGGUACGGUAUCAACAGUCUUCGAGACUUUCGCAUCAAAUAAUAUGCGGAAACGAACAAUCUGCAGCCUCGCCGAAGUCUACCAAGUAGCAACAACCAAUCCAUGGAGCGACACAGCCAUCACCUUCAACGCCAGCGACGAACCUAAAUUCCGAACAGCCCGAGCUCCAGCCGCACUGGUACUUAGUCCGAUAGUGGACGGCUUUCGACUUACAAAAGUCCUCAUGGAUGGUGGCAGCGGAUUAAACCUCAUCUACGAGGAAACCCUUCAAAAAAUGGAAAUAGACUGGAGCCGCAUUGAGCGAAGCAGCACAACCUUUAGAGGAAUAAUCCCUAGCCGGGAGGCGCGCUGCACAGGAAAAAUCACACUCGAUGUGGUAUUCGGCUUGCCGGACAAUUACAGAUCCGAAGAAGUCACGUUCCAAGUGGCCCCGUUCAACAGCGGAUAUCACGCUAUAUUAGGACGAGAGGCAUUCACAAUUUUUCAAGCCGUACCCCAUUACGGGUACAUGAAGCUCAAAAUGCCUGGGCCCGGCGGAAUAAUCACUCUCAUUAGUGAUCCAUACAUAGCACUCCGCGCCGAAAACAAGACAGCCGCAUUAGCCUUAGAGGCACUAUCCGAAGCCCUAACAGCAGAGGAACUCACCACGCUGCGCUCUACGGUGAAUAGGGACGAUGUGAUACUUGAUAAGAGAUCCAAGUCCACCUCCUUUAAACCAGCAGAUGAAAUAGUAAAAUUCCAGGUCCACCCAACGGACCCGACAAAGACGGCCUCCAUCGGGGCACAAUUGAACCCUGAUGUAGACGCCGCACUGCGAGAAUUCCUUCGGGAAAAUUGGGACAUUUUUGCCUGGCACCCCUCGGAUAUGCCCGGAAUCCCACACAGAUUGGCAGAACACAGCCUAAACAUCCUAAAAGGAUUGAAGCCAGUCAAACAGGCUCUUCGACGAUUUUCCGAACCCAAAAGACAGGCAAUGGGAGAAGAGCUAGCCAAACUAUUGGAAGCCGGAUUCAUCAGAGACAUCAAACAUCUGGAUUGGCUAGCAAACAUGGUAAUGGUACCAAAGAAGGACAAAUCCUGGCGCCUAUGUGUCGAUUUCAAAGACCUAAAUAAAGCCUGCCCAAAGGAUCCCUUCCCCCACCCCCGCAUCGACCAAAUCAUCGAUGCCACUGCAGGGCACGAUUCAUUGUGCUUCCUGGACGCAUACUCCGGCUAUCAUCAAAUCAAGAUGGCAGAAGCGGAUCAAGCCGCAACGGCAUUCAUUACUCCAUAUGGACCAUUCUGCUUCAACACGAUGCCCUUCAGACUUAAAAACGCCGGCGCAACAUAUCAGCGCAUGAUUCAGACAUGUCUGGCUACCUAGAUCGGCAAAACAAUAGAGGCAUACGUAGACGACGUAGUCGUCAAAACUAAACACGUCGAAACUCUAGUAGACGACUUGAGGCUCACAUUCAACAACCUCAGAGCAUAUGACAUCAAGCUGAAUCCGAAAAAUGCGUUUUUGGCGUACCAGCUGGAAAGUUGUUGGGCUUCAUCGUAUCCGGUAGAGGAAUUGAAGCAAACCCAGCCAAGAUCCGAGCUCUGUCACAGCUAGAUAUCCCAAAAGACCUCAAGCAAAUACAAAAAUUGACUGGAUGCGUGGCGGCUCUAAGCCGCUUUAUCUCCCGUCUAGGAGAAAAGGCAUUGCCCCUCUAUCGCCUCCUUAGGCACACCGAACACUUUGAAUGGACGGAUGCUGCCACCACCGGACUCGAAGAAAUAAAGGCCAUAUUGGCAACAAAUCCGGUCCUGGCUGCGCCCAACCUGGGCGAACCAAUGUUGUUAUACAUCGCAGCAACGCAUCAAGUUGUAAGCGCGGUACUCGUCGUCGAACGAGAGACAGAAGGGCAUAAAUUCCCUCUUCAAAAACCAGUAUACUACGUAUCCACUGUGUUAACCCCCUGCAAGUCCCGUUACCCGCACUAUCAGAAGAUAGCAUACGCGGUGUUCAUGGCAUCCCGGAAGCUCCGACACUACUUUCAAGAGUGUUCGAUAACAGUGGCCUCUGAAGUACCACUUAACGACAUUAUAAACAACCGCGACGCGACGGGCAGGAUUGCAAAAUGGGCCAUUGAGCUCUUACCAUUUGAUAUAACUUACAAACCUCGGCGAGCUAUAAAGUCACAAGUUUUGGCUGACUUUGUCGCUGAAUGGACCAAAGCCGAACUCCCUAAAGAGUACGACGCAUACUCCAAUUGGAUUAUGCACUUCGACGGCUCUAAAAUGUUAGCCGGAUUGGGGGCUGGCGGCGUAUUGACGUCCCCGACCGGGGACACAGUCCAAUACGUACUUCAGAUAAUGUACACGGACUCCAACAACGCAGCCAAAUUCGAGGCCCUUUUACAUGGUCUCCGGAUGGCAAUCUCCAUGGGCAUUCAAGGCCUAGAGGUGCGCGGGGAUUCAAACCUCGCAAUAUCCCAAAUAAACAGAGACUUUGACGCCAAAGAUCCGAAAAUGGCAGCAUAUCGCAACGCUGUCCUAAAAAUGUCAGCCCGGUUUGAAGGACUUGAAUUCCAUCAUGUAGCCCGGGAUAAUAACCAAGUAGCCGACAUACUGGCACGCAUCGGCGCAAAACGCGACGCUGUCCCUCCUAACAUCUUCUUGGAACGUCUCUUCAAGCCAUCCGUACUAUGGGAAGAGGAUUCCGGAAAUAACAAACCGGAACAAGCCGCACCAAACGGCGAUUCAGCCGACGACAUAACACCUUCAGCCCACGACAUAAUGGCAGUAAUUGCCCCAUGGACAGAACCAUUCCUCGCCUACUUGCUUAGGCAGGAGCUUCCCGAAGACCAAAAUGAGGCCCGCUGCAUUGUCCGGCGAUCUAAAGCCUACAAGGUCUAUGAGGGAAAACUUUAUAAGAAAAGCACAACCGGAGUCCUUCAAAGGUGUAUCUCCGAAGAGGAAGGGCGAAACCUCCUGGCUGAAAUUCAUGCCGGACUAGGCGGACACCAUGCCGCAGCUCGGGCCCUUGUAGGAAAGGCAUUCCGUACAAGAUUUUAUUGGCCGACGGCCCGAACAGAUGCUCAGGACUUAGUCCAAAGAUGCGUCGGUUGUCAGCUCUUUGCUAAUCAGAGCCAUAUGCCACCCACCGCCCUCAAAACUAUACCCAUUACCUGGCCGUUCGCGGUCUGGGGGCUUGACAUGGUUGGACCACUUAAAGGGGGAACCCACAAGCAAAGGUACCUAUUGGUCGUGGUGGAUAAAUUCACCAAAUGGAUAGAGGCCAAGCCAGUUAAAACGGCAGAGUCCGAACCAGUGAUAGACUUUAUAUCCGGGGUAGUACACCGUUAUGGUGUCCCCCACAGCAUCAUCACCGAUAACGGCACGAACUUCACGGCCGAUGAGGUUAAGUCAUGGUGCAAAAAUAUGGGCAUCAAGCUCGAUUACGCUUCAGUCUAUCAUCCUCAAACCAACGGUCAAGUGGAACGAGCAAAUGGUCUAAUAAUGAGCGGCAUCAAACCCAGACUAGUGCGGUCCCUUACGAAAUCUGACACACACUGGGUAGAGGAGCUCGACUCCGUACUCUGGGGGCUGCGGACAACGCCUAACCGUACUACCGGAUUCACACCAUUUUUUAUGGUAUACGAUGCAGAAGCAGUUUUGCCCUGCGACAUAAUUCAUGACUCACCUCGAGUGCGCAUGUACGAAGAAAGAGAAGCCGAGUUGGAUCGGCAGGACAGCUUGGACGCAUUGGAGGAAGAACGCGACGUCGCCAAGGCUCGUUCCGCAUUCUAUCGGCAGCAGGCUCGAAGAUACCAAAGCAGAGAAGUACGGGCCAAGACUUACAACGUUGGCGAACUGGUUCUACGCCUGCCGGACAAGAAAAAGGACAAGCUCAAGCCCAAAUGGGAAGGCCCCUUCAUCAUCGAUCAAGUCCUGACCGGCGGAGCGUACCGUCUACGAAAUGCAUCGGAUAACCGACUCGAGCUGAACCCAUGGAACGCAGCCCACCUCUGAAGAUUCUAUGCCUAGCACCGGACUAAGAGUUCGUCCCUUUCCCCCCGUCCAAAUUUUUUUUACUUCAGCUGCCUUUUGUUUAUCUUUUUCUUCUCAACCUUAUUCAUCCAAGCCUUAAAGGGCCUACUUGCGCAACGUUCGUGCGCAAUUGAUGUUCUAUCCGCACUCAUUAUACCUGGGGGCUUCUUUACCAGAAGCUUAAUUAUAAGGGCUUCAUGCCCAGCACAUGUGUCAAGCCUCCACAUGUACCUUUUAUACACCAUUAUAUGCAUCGAUAUGACUUAAGUUUUGGCCAAGCUGGGUUGCCUGGCUCAUGUGCUUACCCCUACGUUCCCGAUUGUUCGGCUAGGAGGUAAAGGGAUCACCUCUGCGAUUGUUACUGUCGGGUCAGCCGGAUGUGUACCUCAGACUGGGUGAAGCCGAAAGCUAGCGUUCUUAAGGGAAUAUUCGGUCGGUGACUUAAAAGAUGAUUUUUUUUAUCCACUUAUUUAUCUGCCCCCAGAUGUUUUCCUGCUUUUUUCGCAGUCCGGACAUGCACUUUAGGGCAUGCCACCCCCAGAGGAAAGGAACCCUUAACAGAACUAUUCUCCCUGGAAGAUGUUUCUUACUACCCAUGUAAUAUAACAUAACUAGUUGGGCACUUGUCUGAUAAAGCACUAAUGACCCCUACGCCUGGUCUCCAUGCAUACCCCGGUUGUUUCAUAACCGAGAAGGUAUUCGGACACACUCCGGACUCUAGGGUCCCGAGGUCGAAGCGAAAAGGUCGGCAAAGACAAACGAUCUACAAUCCGGCUAGAAGGCAUUUUAUAUGUCAUUUUAUAAUACAUUGUCAAAUCGACUGAUUGUAUUCUUCCUCAAUCCCAUCUAACAGGUUGUCUAAUUUACAGUCCUGUUGGGAAAAUUUAGCGGCCAACUCUACUUGGCCGUAUACUAAACUCACAGGGAUCUCCUUCCCAUCGGGCCCCACAGGUCCGACUUCGGCCAUGUGGUUGGGAUCCGCCUUCUUGUACCGCGUCUUUACCAUGGCCCAGGCCUCCCUGGCACCUUGGCGGCAGGCCGAAAUCUUCCAUAAAUGGAAGCGCUGCCGCACUCCCUGCAGCUUCUCCGCAAGCUCCCCAAGACCCUCGGGUAAGGAGAAGGCUGGCCAUAAAGCCUGGAUGACGCUGCUCAUUGCCUGCCGAACUCGUUCGAUCAGUUGCAACAAUUCAGGAAGUUGAUCACCCAUUGAUACGGGCAUCUCCUCCGCAGGGCGACCUAUGAGCAUACCUGCAGACAUAUUCUGUCAAAUUGACUUCCGCCGAACUCUUCUUUUCAAAGGAGUUCGCUCAAGCACUUACUAUAGAUGUCGCGACGAAGCCGCUGAUUCUCCUUAACGGAGCCCGACAGCUCGGCCCGAACGCCUUUCAGCUCUUCUCCAAGCUGGGCAUGGGCAUCCUGGAGCUUGUUCCUUUCAUGCUGCACCUUAUGCAGCACCCUCUCGCCGGCCUUUAGUUGGCGCAGAAGUUCUUGCCUGUCCGGAUCUUGUCCGGCAGCACCUGCAAUGUCAUUUUUUAGACUUGCGCAAAGGCCAAAUGCUACUUAUCUUUCUAAAAUAAUGCGUUACCAGGAGAGGUCCCUGCAUUUCCUCCUGCGCCAGAGAGUGCGGCCUCAAGUUGGGCCUUGCACUCUUGCAGCUCCUGAGACAGUUGGGUAUUCUUCUCGGUAAGAUCCUACGUUUCAUAUGAUCCUUAAAUCAGUUAAUAUAACUACUUUAAGUCUCGGGGGCUACUGGCAUAUAUAACUAUUAAAUUCUCUUACCCGUAUGUCUUUUACAUACUGCUUCGUGGCUCUGGUAAAACCAUCUUGAGCAGCACGAAGGUGCGCGUCCCCCGCGUUAAAGGCAUUCAACGCCUCGGGGGAGAAGCACGCGUCACUAAAUACUGUCCGGCGGUGCUUGUGAUUCAGGGCACUCUCCACCUCAGACUUGGUGGCGGACAGUCUGUCGGCAUCCUCCGUCGGAGGAACAUCCGGCUCGUGCCUUGCGCUCGCCUCCCCCUUCAGACCAGGUGCUGGAGCCUGGGUGGUAGAGGUUGGAUUGGCAACCUCCACGCCCGCAGUCCGGCGGACGCUUUUUCCCUACAAAAGUCAUGAGCACUCAAACGCUUCCUAGGAACGUUGCUCUAAAUAAUGAAUUGUGAGCUACACCUUUGUGGCGACGUUUCAGUCCGCGCCGCGCUCCUCUUCCGCCUACUGGUCCGGACUGGCCUUUGUUGGUCAGCCACCGCGGGCUCGGCUUCUCGCCCUAGGGGCGCCUCCUGCACAGCGCCAUCAUAUACGGUGGUCAGAAAUAAGCAAGGAAGGAAUGACGGUGUCAGGACUUCGGUCGCAAUCACCUGGGAAGCCGGAUAUAGUCCGGGAUAGUCGGCCGUGAUGGCGACUAAAGCAUUGUCCAUGCUGAGCUGGUGGAACACCCCGUCGAUUAGCUCCACCUUUAUGUCCGGAUCCUCUUCGGAGGCCGGAUCCCGGGAUCUCUUUGGAUCCUCGGGCUGCGGAGCUGGACUUAGCAUGUCCUCCAUGAUCCGGCACAGUUCCUGCGUCGAAAGAAGAACACAAUAUAAGAAACUUAAGUUUCAAAAAGCAUGGGUCAGGCACGCAGAGUGUUCGCUUACCCAAGGCCGGGGAUUAUUCAUGGAGAACCCAUUUAACGGGUUCGUCCGAAGGAAAUCCUCCUUCUCCCCCUUAUACAGGUCGGACAGGAUCGUCACCAGAUCUUCGACCGAAUCCGGCCCUUUGCGGCCAUGACGGGUGGCAUCGUCCUCCCCGUUGAAAUCCCACAUGGGGUGGCCCCUGUAUUGUAGUGGCUGCACCCCCCGCAUAAUGCAUGUUGCCAUGACUCCAAUCAUGGUCAACCCGGCAUGGGCCAGUAACCUUAUUCGGCCCAUCAAAUAAUGGACGCUCUUGUCUUCCUCCAGUUGGGGGCUCCGCGGACGCCAACUAAGGCGUUUCUUCAGAGGAGCAUUGCUGAACUCCGGGAGGCCGAUCCGAACAGGGUCCGGCAGCGGGGUGUCUUCUAUAUAAAACCAUUCCGAAGGCCAGUCUUCGGACGCCUUCUUAGGGGUUCCGGAUGGAUAUCCGGUCCCUGCAAUGCGCCAUAUUUCGGCGCCGCCCACUUGAUAUAUGGACCCCUCGUGAGAGCGGGGUACAAGGCAGAACAACCUCUUCCACAGCGCGAAGUGGGGCUCGACGCCCAGGAAUAGCUCGCAAAGAGCUACGUAACCCGCAAUAUGCAGGAUUGAGGCGGGCGUGAGGUGAUGAAGCUGGAGUCCGUAGAACUCCAGGAGCCCGCGGAGGAUUGGAUGUACAGGAAAUCCGAGCCCCCUUAUCAGAUAGGGGACGAAGCAUACCCGCUCCCCUUUGUUGGGAUUUGGGGUAACCUCCGCUUGCUUCCCACCUUUGUAAGUGGCCAGCCCGGCUCGAACCGGAACCAUGAAGGCCGGAGGGAGAUAUUCCCCCGCUUGGAGCUUUACCAGCUCGUUGUGCGGAACAGAGCAUCUCCUCCAAUCUCCUGGCAAAGGGCUGGGAGCGCGAGAAGAGGAGUCGCGUUGACGGUCCAUGAUGGAAUGGAUUCUUGGUCGAAAGCGCUCCAAUGAGUAUUUGCGGGAGGAAGAUGGUGAUUUGGAUCUGGAUUCUUGCCUCCCUUAUAGGCAGAUUAUUCGCACAACUAGGGGGUAAAACAUAAAAGACACCCUGGCUUUUCACAUUCGCGCGACGCGUGGAAGAAGGCCAUUAUUGGGCGUGGAAGCCAAGACGCGCAACAUUGAUGAGGAAGUCGGACACUGUUCGGCAGGUACGUAGAACUUGAAGGAGAACCUGCCUUGCAACGCCGAAGACUACACACAUGCUGGACUUAUCGUCAUUGAAGCCUGGUUCGGGGGCUACUGAGGGAGUCCCGGAUUACGGGGUGUCCGGAUAGCCAGACUACCAUCAUCGGCCGAACCAUCAUCGGCCGGACUAUCAUCAUCGACCGGACUCCAAGACUAUGAAGAUACAAGAUUGAAGACUUCGUCCCGUGUCCGGAUGGGACUUUCCUUGGCGUGGAAGGCAAGCUUGGCGAUACGGAUAUGUAGAUCUCCUACCAUUGUAACCGACUCUAUGUAACCCUAUCCCUCUCCGGUGUCUAUAUAAACCGGAUGGCUCUAGUCCGUAGGACACAACAACAACCAUUACAAUCAUACCAUAGGCUAGCUUCUAGGGUUUAGCCUCCUUGAUCUCGUGGUAGAUCCACUCUUGUAAACAUCCACAAUAUCAAUAUCAAUCAAGCAGGACGUAGGGCUUUACCUCCAUCAAGAGGGCCCGAACCUGGGUAAAACAUCGUGUCCCUUGUCUCCUGUUACCAUCCGCCUAGACGCACAGUUCGGGACCCCCUACCCGAGAUCCGCCGGUUUUGACACCGACAGCAAGGUUUAGUAGUACAAGUAGUACUACUACUAGAACCACAUGGUGAAGCAUUUGUACUCUUAUUUUAUUUUAAUCUUUGAUAAAGUACACAUUUAUUCGAGAGAAGGGCGGAAAACGGCGGCCCAAUAGUAUAGUAUUAGAAAACAUCAAACAUGUAAUGAUGAUAUCGAUCAACCAUGCUCGAAUAUAUCUUGGCCUCCGUGUGAGCCCGUCUGUGUGUUCUCGAUCCUCGUCUCUCGCAAGGAACGGCGGGUUGUCCAUUUUGUCGUCAAUUCAGACCGCUUUGCUCACACUCCGGUGUCACAUGUCACUGAUAUGCCAAGAGGAGGUGCGUUGACCGAUUAGCCAUGCACGUACUUGGUUUUGCGCCUUCAUACUACUCCUCCCUCCGUUACAGUUUACAGGGAGCGCUUCAUUCUGAUGCAUUUCUCUUAAUGUAUUUCCACCACCAGAGAGACUUUAGACGCGUUUGGUUUAAUGCUCAAUUAAUUAGGGCGUGGUAACCGCAAUCAAGUCCACAAUUUUCUCCCGAUGUACUACGGAGUGGAGUAAGUGCAUGCAUGUAUAUACCCGGGGUGGAAGCACUGCAUGCAUGUGUGUACGUAUUAUUUCCUCUAGUAAUAGACGUCAUGCUAUAACUACCAACACUAUUUUUCAGGCCGAUCGCUAGUCGCCUUGGUCCCAGAGAUUUUUUUUAAAGCAUGCUCUAUAAAAAGUGAUGGAUGGAGUAGUAUGAGCGGAUUCAAAGAAGAGCGUAUUGAUGGUUGCUUCUUCUGAGCAACUUACAGUGGGAAAGGUGGGGCUUAUGAUUUGACAGCUCAUUACCCACUAUUAAUGCGGCGCAACGACCGGGCUGAGUCUCCCAUGCAGUUUUGCACUACUCCCUCAGUUAUUAAAUAUACUCCAGAGGAUUUGUCUUUCUAGAGAUUUCAACAAGUGACUACAUAUGAAGCAAAAUGUGUGAAUCUACACUCUAAAAUAUGCCCAUUUGAAAUUUGUAAAAAUACAAAUAUUGAGGAACGGAGGAGUAUAACUUUGUGCAUGGCACAUGGACCCGGAUGCUGAAGAGGCUUCUGGCAUAGCUAUCAAGCUUCCAACAUUUGUUUACAUAAUUGACGUACUAUAAAAAUAAUUUUCUAGCGACAUGAAAUUGUACAAUGCUCUGAGCUUUCAGCUUUUGUUUCGUGUGUCUUGCCAUCGAUGCUCUUUCGGAAACAAUAAAAAACUAGCUUCCUUGUUAAUGCAUCUCAAUGAUUAGCAUAUCAGAGCUAGGAUUUACAUCACAACUGAAGACAAAGUUGUGAGAAGGUGUUAAAUUAAAAUUGAUCCAUGCUUUCAUUGGUAGCAACGUCCCCCCAUCUCUGUCUAAAUCAACAAUGCAUGUUGGGAAAAAGUAGCUGUCUGGAGCAUGCAACAUUCCGAUCAUUUUGUGCAGUUCCACUAAAAAAGAGCUGAGCAUCCCUCUUCCAAAGAUAUUAAGUGUGAUUAUGAUAAUACAGGACUGCUGAUGAAACAAUAAACACACAAAUAGAUGUCGGUCACCUUUGUAGUCUCUCUUAAGACUAACUAGUUGGAGAAGAUUAGGCUCGGAGUUGGAUGAGGAGGAUAGUGCAAAACUAAUCUCCCUUUGUGCAGUCGCACUGAAAUGUAGAGACGUUGCCCGUGUGACAUUUUAGUACAACUGCACAAAACACUCUUAAGAAAAAAGUGAUUUGUGCAGUUCACCAAAAGGUUGCAAUAGCAACAAGGUGAAAUGGAUAGCCCUAUUUGCAAAAAAGAGGUAGAAAGGAAACAAUUACUGGCCAAUAACAGUUGAUGACACAUGCGACGACAAAAAAGAAGCAUAUUCCUUGUCCUAUGGGAAGAUAACAACACGGUUGUGUUUGUCUAAAAUGGUGUGAGGACGAGAUUGCAAUAUGGAAAGUACACCGGACGAGCUACACUUUGGGAAAAGAACUAUCGAAGAUCCACAUGCAAGGUUUUCCACAUGCAGCGACGUGGGAAGACGGGCGGUGGAGCAAGGCCGAAGGGGUUACCUGGAGGUCGUCGGGGUGUUACUAGGUGAUUGGCGACGGGCGGAUUAUGCCCAUACUGCGGCAGCAAGCAGGUGGCCUAGGGCCCACCGCGCCGGAGCUUGGUCAAAGAGAACGGCGUGUAACGCAGAUCAGGACGUGCUGCCUCAGCACCAUCGAACAGAGAAACGAUGCACAUCCUCCCUUUCCGCCGGCGGACGGGGUGCGACCAGAUCAGUGACCAUUGGUGAGAGAGAGAGAGAGGCCACCAUAGCCUUGUGUGAGAUACUCUGACAAACCCAGGCAGGCAGGCUCCAUUGUAUAUAGUUGAGCGGACUACCUUUUUCUCCAUAAAAAUUGUUUUAUAUUAUGUGUGCGUGCCAUUGAGCGAUAUAACUUUAUUUAAAAGUAGCACGCCAACGCAUCAAGUCAAACUUUGUUUCAUGCACGCGUUGUACAUGACCUCUAUGGGUAAACAACCGCUACAUGCGUUCAAACUAGCACGUGGGCUGCCAUUUCAUACAGAAAUGAGCUCCACCAUGUACACGCGUGGGUGUGGCUGGGCACGAAGCAUGAGUACAUGCACCUAUUCUCUUCUUGUGUACGUACACCACCUACGUGGGUGUGUGUGAGAGAGAUANNNNNNNNNNNNNNNNNNNNNNNNNNNNNNNNNNNNNNNNNNNNNNNNNNNNNNNNNNNNNNNNNNNNNNNNNNNNNNNNNNNNNNNNNNNNNNNNNNNNNNNNNNNNNNNNNNNNNNNNNNNNNNNNNNNNNNNNNNNNNNNNNNNNNNNNNNNNNNNNNNNNNNNNNNNNNNNNNNNNNNNNNNNNNNNNNNNNNNNNNNNNNNNNNNNNNNNNNNNNNNNNNNNNNNNNNNNNNNNNNNNNNNNNNNNNNNNNNNNNNNNNNGUCCUGGAUAUAUCAUAUAUAUAGAGGGGGCGAUCCACGAGAAGAGAGUGGAGGUAUCAUCGGCUUGAGGUAUCCAUAGAAUCGAAGAGAGGAUGAUGUGUGUGUGUGUGCGCACGGGAUCGAUAAAGAGUGCCAUCGAAUUUGUGUGUGCCCACGUCAAAGAUAUAGAGUUGCUGGCUUACUGGAAAAUGAGACGGGACAGGUGCAGUUUGUCUCUGUGUCAUGGAUACCUACCUACAACGCUCGGCUAUUGGUGUGUGGUGGGGGAGGCCUAAUUAACUAUAGAGGUACAAUGGCUGGUAUAUGUGUGGAGGAGGAGAGAGGCCUACCUUAUGUAUUAAGGGAGAUCUAUCGGCAUCCAUGCAUAUGUGUAGGAGAGGAAUGAAGUUGGGAAAGAGACAAAGCUAGAGUGUUGAAGGGGGUGGUAGUGGAGUUGCUUCUAACAAAUGGUGGGAGAGGCUUUCUAGACAAACGGAGGGCACGCCUGCAAUAUCAAUAAGAGAGGGGAUGGCUGCCUGUCUGUGCACGUGCGUGUGUGAGACGAGUCAGGAGGCAUGCACGAAUGAUGAGGGGGGAUGAUAUGGCUAUGGUAAGCAGACGUAACUACAUAGGAAGAUCAAUCGUCCUUUGUCAGAGAAAGGAGAGACAUAACUUGUGAGGUAUGUCGAUCGAUGGGUGGGGGGAAAUAGUUGAAGUCGACCUAGGUAUAUGUUGGGAGAUCAAUUGGUAUACAUGCAUGUAUGUGUUAGAAGCAAAUAAGGCACGGGGAGAAGGAUAGAGAGAGAGGGAUGCAUCUAGGAGGUGGUGCGAGAGACAUACUAUAUCGAGGGGGAAGGAGUGUGCGAGUACGAUAUCGAUGAAAAGAGUGGUGGGAGUGAGGCAUGUACGGUGAUAAGAGAAGAUGGGAAGCUUGUGUUUGUGGUAGGAACACCUGGCUAGAGAGGCAUAUCGAUCGACAUGUGCCGUAAAGAAGGAGCCGAGGGGCCUACACACACCGUGGGUGAACGACCUAAAGUGAAAAGACGAAUUUGCGCGAUGGAGCUAGAGAAUGCCUAGGGAGGGUGAGAGGGAUGCGGGUGUGUGCAUGCACGAGAAAAAGUUAGUGCUAGCUACAAAGAUAAGAGGAUUGUGGGGGUGUAAAAGAUGAAUAGAGAUCAUAAUUCAUUAUAAAAAGCGAAUUCGGAUAUUUGAAGAAUUUAUCAUAGUGUUUUAAACUGACGCAUGCGUGAAUAUAUAUAACGAUGAUACACAUGGUGUGGUUAUGAACAUGUUAUACUACAUAUAAUAUAUUUUAUCUCUACUCUUAUAAAAAACAGAGUUGUUGAUUAUGGUGUGCCUGCCAUCCUGCAAUAUAGGUCGUCUGAUUUAUAUCUGACGGAUAGGAAGGAAACUAUGGCAAUUUUGAAAAAAGAUACCCGCACCCCUCUCCAUACUUGCAAAUAAGGCCUCCCCUUGAUCAUGUUGAUGUUCCGUGGAACGCAUGGGCAUCUUGCUAGUACUACAUAUAAUAUAUAUAACACUGAUUAUAAUUUGGGCUAAUGUGUGGCUUUUGCAGUUCAGGGCUAAAUACUUGUCAUAAUGUAGGGGGCGGGGCACUAUACUUUGUGUGAUAAACACGGUGUACGUAUGGAACAUGGUUUAUAUUAUGAAUAUAUAGUUAGUACAUCAAAUGUACUAUUAUUUGGAAUCAACAUCAAGUGUAUUCAAAAAAUUGAAUUCAAGUUCAUAUAGUACACAUAUUUCAUAUCUAUCUCUAUAGUAAUCAUGUGGUGUGUUGUUAAGGUAAUACACGAAUGAUGGUUGAAGUUGGCAACAAUCAUGAUUGUAGAUUCUUAUUCAAACAGAGAAACGAAUUCAAAUUCAGUUCGAAUUGCAGCAGUAGUAUAAACAUUUGGAAUGCACUAAAAUGUUGGUAUGAGUAGGUUACAUGCAUUAUACAGCCAGUGAAAAAAUUUAAUUGGACAUAACAUGGAUUCAUACUCCCUCCUUCCAUCUAUAUAGGGUGUAGUGCGCUUUUUAAGACCGCCUUUGACUAUUGACAAGAUUAAUAGUACAUGGCAUGCACAAUGUGAAAAUUAUAUCAUUGAAAGCUCCUUUCACAAACAAAUUUAACAGUGUGCUUUUUGUAAGUUGCAUGCCAUGUAUUAUUGCUCUAAUAUUUGGUCAAAGUUAGCAUCGAAAAAUGCAUUAGGCCCUAUAUAGAUGGAAGGAGGGAGUAGCUUUGAAUAGCAUUUGUAUAAUAAAAUGGGACAAGAUUCUCUCUUUGUGUGGUAUGAAUAGUUUUAUUUUUUUCGUUUUUUGGUUGAGGGAAGUGCGAAUUGAUUUUGUACGUACACGUACAAUAUUACACGUUAGGCUUGUCCCUAAAAUUCAACCCACGCCUUGUUAUAUCCCGAAAAUUCAGAUAUCGUGCUCCCAAAACUGGCGCCUUCACAACCCGCGCCUUGCUAUCCCGAAAUUACAACGCGCGCGAACACUCCCUCCAGCUGCCAAAUCCCGACACGUGAAAUCCCCCUUCAAACCCUGAGCCGAAAGGGCUGCUAGUUCAAAUCGGUGGGGGUACCUUUGUAACACACCCUACAUUUUGGACAAGCGCGUCCCUAAGUCAUGGUUCACCCCCUCCCAUUGCCUCCUUUUCACCAUUCAAAAUCCCAGGCCGCCAUAACCUCUCUGUUCCUGCCGCGAAACACCACCCUCCUCCGUCCGCCACCUCACCGAUGCCCAGCCAGAGCCUCUUCCCCAACAACGUCGUCCACCGCAAUAGCUCGACGUCCCUCGUACACCUCCCCAGAUGAGGAUCCGUCGUCCAUCUCAUCGUCCUGCCGGUUCAGCCGCCCUGUCCUCCACCUCCAAGGAGCUGCUCCGACGAUUGCCUCGUCUAUUACGGCUUCUCCAUCCCCACAUCGUCGCCUUAACCUGCUCCACCGGAACCACAACAUCCUCACCGACUCCUCGGACGAAGCCGAGGCCUACUAGGUGCCACCAAAGAGGUUGUACACUCAUCGCAUCGCACCUUCUCCUUAACUCAACCUCUCGGCGCCGACGAUGCUCCAUCGCGCACCCCCAUGGAGCGGCUACCUCGAAGCCGGUGCCGCAUGCGACAUCUCCAUGGCGGCUCUCCCCCAGUGCAAGGCCCCUUCGACGGCGGCAUCCAUACCAGCCGGAUCUGCUACUGCUGCUCCAGCUCUUGCUUGCUCGCUCGUGCUACUGCUGCUGCUCCGGCUCUCGCUCGCUCGUGCAGCUGCAGCUGCUCCAGGUCUCGCUCACGCUGCUGCUGCUCCGGCUCUCGCUCGCUCGCGCUGUUGCUGCUCUCCACCUUGCUCAUGCUGCUGCUAUGCUCCAAUUUAGCUACACUUCAGUCGACUGAAUCAACUUUUGGGUCAAUCGAUUUUCCGGGGGUGGGGGGACUCACUGGAGUUAAGGAAGAACCACUCGCAGCAGGGAGGGAGCUCGCCAGAGAGGUACCCCACUAUCUAUCAUAGGGUGCAGGGUGGGAGUGGGGGGCUAGAGGGCUGGCCGGGGCGGGGCGGCGGCAGACCGGUGGUGGGGAGUUGUUUCGGAACGGCGAGGCGGCACGGGCGCGGGCGGUUCGGCCAGUGGCGGCUGGCGGCUCAGGGGGGGUGCAGGUUGAAGAUGAACUGCAGGCCCUCCCUAAACUACAUGUCAAGUGCCUCACUGCUACCAUUGCAUUCAUUUUCGACAGUAACAUUCAGAUUCCAUUGUAAAUUUUAGUUUUGACAGUUAAGUUCAUAGUCAACAGUUUUUAUCUCAUUCGUUGUAGUCAGGUGGUUUUUGGUGAUGUAAAUUUUACAUCUAUUUUACAUCAUCUAUUGGAGAAGCUAUUAGAAUCCCACUUGAGAUUAACGAUGUCUGUCUUGUGUUGCUUCAACCUUGACAUCUUACGGCUCACCGGAGCUGCUCUAACGAUAGAACGAUCCAUCACAAUAGAGCAGUGCCCUGGACGCCAUCUACAGAUUCCUCAGAUCUUCCUCCACACCUCCGACAGCCACCUCUGCCUCAACUUCUUCAGUGACCAACCCAAUGAUGUUGAGGUCGACAUGGCUACGGCAAAGAGGUUGUACACUUGUUGCAUCACUUAUUACUCUACAUUCAUGUCGAUCCAUUAGGGCUAUUUUGGUUCAACGGAAAAACAUAAUAAUAGGGAAUUUUCCUAUGGCACUCUACUUUUCAAUUAUUCAUGCAUUUUGUUGAAAGUAAUGGAGCAAAACAUCCACCUGGUACUACUUUUCAAAAUCCUAUGCAUGAAAACAAGACCAAGUGCAUUAGUGGCAUAAUAACAUUCUAACUGUACACGCUUUCAUAUGGUUUCACUUUAUUUUGGCCAUGUUUCUUUGCAUUCCUCCGCUCUUCCAAUUCCUGUGAACCAAACACCCAAGUUGACAGAAAUCCUGUGUUUACAAAUGUUAUAUUUACCAUGUGCAUUCCUAUCCUAUUCCGUUGUUUUUCCUAUCCCUGCGUUUUUAGAAUCAUGCAAGCAAAGUGAGGCCUUACAGAAUUACUUCAGUUACAAGUAGGUGUCGAAGAAAACUUUGUGUGGUUUGUCCUGCUCCUGCCGCAACAUCGUCCACCACACCUGAGUUGCUCCAUCGACAGAAGCAUCCACCAAACCAGACAUCACGACUCAUGACCGUCUUUCACCGCCUCAGAUCUCCUUCCCUGCCGCUGGCACCCACCACAAUGGCAUCACUUUUGUUUCUGCUUAUGUUAUGCAUUGCUUAAUAUUACCUGCUACUUUAUUUUCCUGUUCACCUCUUAGACUCCAAGUCAGGUCCAAAUUGAUGUUCAAACUUGAGUUCUAAAUUAGUUGUGGGGCACAUAUCGAGGCAACAAUGAAUAGUAUCUCUAUCUAAUAUCUAGUUCACCUAGGGUAUGCCUAUGUUGUUCAUCUUGGGUGGGAAACAAAUAGUAAAGCAAUAAUCAUCUGUUUUUUUAAAUUAAAGCAAUCAUCAGCCUGCUAUCAUUAUUUUUGGAUCCAUCCACUGGUUGUUACCAUUACUGUAGAUUUAUUCAUGCUCUCCUUACAUAAUCUCACUAUAUUUUUUUGUAUGCAUGUCAGACAUUGUACACAGUCAUGCUGAACAUGUAGAGAAAAAGAGAAUAGUUUUGCGCAGCAAUACAAUGUCAUGCAGACAUCGCUCCAUGGUGGGUUCAAUGAAAAACUCUCCCCCCUCUCCAGAUUGUAAUCCAGAGGAAGAUAUCUGUUCUGAGGCGAAUUCACACGCAGCUGGCCACUCCUAUAUAACCCCAAGGUAUUUGCUCUAACUUGGCAUGAUGAUGUUAGUCAUAUCAUGCAUAUGUUGCCUUGCAGUGCCUACUUUCAACAUCAUAUAUGUCAUCUGCUUAGUUUAGACAUGUUCUGUAAUGCCACCUGUUUAGUUUCAAUAUCAUAUAUGGGAAUUAUGCAGUCUCAUGUCUUUUAGCGAGCCAUAAUAUAUGUGAAAUGUGCAAUGCCAUCCUGUUUAACGAGGCAUCAUAUAUUUGAAUGAUAUCUAUCCCAUCCUUUUCUUCAUUAAAUUUCCAUUUGUUGACAAUGUUUGUACAUUAAACUACUCUUCCUGUGAAUCAGCCAUUUGAGUGGGUGAUGGAAAAAUCUAGAGUGAAAACAAGGCCUUCAAAGCAGACAGCUCUACUUGUCGAAGCAGAUCUCUUGCUGGGUCCCGAUAGCUCCUCAGAGAUGGAUUCAGAGACAGAUGACCAGUCCUAUUCCCCAACCGAGGUGUAUGCUCUAACUUGGCACGGUUCUACUGCUCAUAUCAUGCAUAUGGUGUCUUGCAUUGCAUAGUUUAGACAUCAUAUACAUAAUAUUCAACACUAUGUUCUUAGUUAAGACAUCAUAUAUGUGAAUGCCCUCUUCUUAGCAUAUAAAUCACAUAUGUGAAUUAAAUCAUGCGAUCCUGGUUACUUAGAUAACAUGUAUGUGAAUUAUGUCAUGUGAUCCUGCUUAGUUAGUCAUCAUGUCUUUGAAUUAUGUUAUGCUAUGCUAUCCAGUUUAGAUAGACAUCAUAUAUGUGAAAAUUAUGUCAUGCUAUCCAUUUUAGUUAAACAAUAUACAUGUCAACUAUUUAAUGCCCUCUUUUUUCGACACUAUCAAUUGCAUCUGUCUCUCAUACAAUGUCUGUACAUUCAACUAUGUUUCCUGUUUAUCAGCCAUUUGAAUUGGAGCGGGUGAUGGCAGUAUCUAGCGGAGUAAAAACACGGUCUUCAAAUAAAACAGUGCUACCUCUUGAUGGAGAUAGCACCCCGGUUGUACAUGCAUGAGAACCAGCCCUACCACACAUAACCCAGACUCUCGCAGAUUUUACCCCUACAUCGAUGGACAGAGAACCAGCUUCACCCAAUCUAACCCCAACCCCAACAGAUAUUAACCCAGUUCCUAUUGACACAACACCAUCUCCACCACAGAGCUCCCAAACAAGAGCAGUUGGUAAGGCAGCUCUAGUGCUCAGUACUACCACGACGAACCCCAACUCCACCAGUUAGUACACCUAUUCCUGUGGAGGAAUCACAACCAACCAUUCAUAGUUUAGCAUCUAUCACAUUUAAUGUUGUUAAAUCCUAUGUGUGUAUCUUCCCAUCAUGGAAAUAUUAUACUAAAUAUGAAGGAAAAUGUCAAUUGUAGGUGUUUGUCCAGGAGUUAUGUGUAAGUAAUGUUAUUCAUGGCAAUUACUUUGCUUUGUCCGAUACAUUCGACCUCCAUGAUGGUUAUAAUACAACAAAUUUUCCCAUUUUUCUCUCUAGAUAUGGACCGAUUUGGAAACUCGGGAUGAGGUAACCUGUGCUAAUACCUCUGCUAUCUUCAAGAAUGCUUGGUGGCAGUAUUGGAAUUACCUGAAGAAAACGUACUUCACUGGCAAAGAAACUCAUCAAAUUCCCUUAUGUUCUCCUGAGACACAUUUACUGGACGAUGACUGGGAACACCUUGUUCUUUACUAGUCCCGAACCAAGAAUGUGGUAAGGUCUAUGAGCUCAUUUUAUAAGUACUAUAUGCUUGCAUCUUACUGUACUCUGUUCAUGUAGAACAAGUGCUUAAACCUGAAGAACAACUGUUCUCAUUUAAGAUUCCAUUGCUAUCAUGCAUACUGCUUUGCUCUUGUAUCACUGUACGUAUUUGUACAAACUUAUUUUUAAAUUGAACGAUCCAAUGGAAACUCCAAUGGCACGACAGGUAUGUUUACGCAUGUUUACGCACGACAGGUUUCCUCUUAUAAAUAGCUCUGUUGAUUUCAAUUUCAAUUGUGUAUACAGUUGACUUCUCAUAUCAUGCACAUUACUAGCAUCAUAACAGGGUCAAUAGUGUUGUUGUACAUGUAGACCCGUGGUACCCAUCUGAAAUCUUGGUGUGUCGUGUAGUUUCCCACACUUUGUAUUCUUUCGGUGUUGCUUUCUCUUGAACUGAUAUGAUUUGAACCGUGUCUCUAUUUUGUUUUGGCAAGACAAUGCAGUGACCAUAGGACAUAGAUAUAUGUUUGUUUGAUGCUUUUAUUAUGUACUAGUACUUGGCAAUAGAAGACUUGGUAGUUUAAUUAUGUCCACCUUACUAAUGAACUGGUUCACCGAAAUGAGUUUCAUAUACUAGUACAUGCUAAACUUUCGGCCUUUAAUGGGCCGAGAGUUACAGAGGGCCUCAUAUGGGCCGAAAGACAUCAUGGGCCAUACAUGGGCCGGAAGUUACAAUGGGCUGGAAUCAUAUUGGACGGCCCAGAUGAAGGUACUGGGCUUAAUUUCGAUAGGCCAUAAUGGGCCGGGAGUUAGCGGGCCAGAAAUGGGCUAUAUACGAACAAGUCAUUAACAGGCUUUCCGUGGGCCGGCCCGUUACCUUUUGACCAUGUCAAAUGGGCCGGCCUUUUCACCGGAAUGGGCCUCUGUUGUGUCGUGCCACAUGUCGACGUGUCAUAGGCGCCUCCCUGUCCAAUGAGUGGAUGACAUCUGUCCCAACGGUGAGCCACCACGUGUUUCCUCUGGCGAAUGAGAAUUUUACACGUGGAAAAUCCCCAUUGGUCCGGGCAUUUAACGGGUUAUCGGAUCCAAAACCAGACCCGAUAGCUUAACGACGUCCCGUUACGGUGGAUGCCACGUGUCGGUCACCCUUGACGAAAGCACUUCUGUGACGCGCGAUUUAUCAUCAUGGAAGUGGACACUUCCGUGAUGAUAAUUUUGGUAAUGUCAUGGAACACUUCUACGAUAGCACAAGUAUGACUAUAUUGAUUCUGUCAUAAAAUCGUCAUGGAUGUACAUGCAUGACAAAAAAUGCGACCUACUGUGACAAACACGUAUCAUCACGGAAGUGUAUUUUUUGUAGUGAUUAUACCCCCCUUGCCAAACUCAUGGUAAGGUACACAAUAGGUCUGUACACAACAUGGCAUACUUUAUAGAACCUAUGGCUGAGGCAUAGGGAAUGAAUUUUAUUCUCUCUCUAUCUUAUGUCGUGGUCGGGCUUUGAGUCUUACUCAACUUCACACCUUAUAUCAGAACUCCUUCUUUGAUUGAUCCAUCUUGAACUCCUUCUCAUUCAAAAAUCUUAUCAAGCAUCUUGAUCUAUUUUUAUAAAUCUUAAUGCCUAAUAUAUAAGCAGCUUCACCGAGGUCUUCCACUGAAAAAUUCUUAUUCAAGUAUCCAUUUAUGCUUUCCAGAAAUUCUAUAUCAUUCCAAUCAAUAACAUGUCAUCUACAUAUAAUAUCAAAAAUGCUACAGAGCUUCCACUGACUUUCUUGUAAAUACAUGUUUCACCGUAAGUCUGUAUAAAACCAUAUGCUUUGAUCACCUCAUCAAAGCGUAUAUUCCAACUCCAAGAUUCUUGCACCAGUCCAUAAAUGGAUCGCUGGAGCUUGCACACUUUGUUAACACCUUUAGGAUUGACAAAACCUUCUAGUUGCAUCAUAUACAACUCUUCUUUAAGAUGUCCAUUAAGGAAUGCAGUUUUGACAUCCAUUUGCCAGAUUUCAUAAAAUGCGGCAAUUGCUAACAUGAUUUAGACAGACUUAAGCAUCGCUAUGGGUGAGAAAGUCUCAUCAUAGUCAACUCCUUGAACUUGUCGAAAAAGCUUUUGCAACAAGUCAAGCUUUCUAGACACUAACAUUACCAUCAACGCGAGUCUUCUUUUGGAAGAUCCAUUUAUUCUCUAUGGCUCGCCGAUCAUCGGGCAAGUCAACCAAAGUCCAUACUUUCUUCUCAUACAUGGAUACUAUCUCAUAUUUCAUGGCCUCAAGCCAUUUAUUAGAAUCCGGGCUCAUCAUCGCUUCUUCAUAGUUUGUAGGUUCGUCAUGGUCUAGUAACAUGACUUCCAGAACAGGAUUACCGUACCACUCUGGUGCGGAACAUGCUCUGUUUGACCUAUGAGGUUCAGUAGUAACUUGAUUUGAAGUUUCAUGAUAAUUAUCAUUAGCUUCUACUAUAGUUGGUGUAGGCAUCACGGGAACGGAUUUCUCUAAUGAGCUACUUUCCAAUUCGAGAGAAGGUACAGUUAACUCAUCAAGUUCUACUUUCCUCACACUCACUUAUUUCGAGAAAAACUCCUCCUCUAGAAAUGUUCAAUUCUUGGCAACAAAGGUCUUGCCUUCGGAUCUGCGGUAGAAGGUGUACCCAAUUGUUUCCUUAGGGUAUCCUAUGAAGACACACUUCUUCGAUUUGGGUUCGAGCUUAUCAGGCUGAAGCCUUCUGACAUAAGUCUCGCAACCCCGAACUUUAAGAAACAACAGCUUAGGUUUCUUGUCAAACCAUAGUUCACAUGGUGUCGUCUCAAUGGAUUUAGACGGUGCCCUAUUUAAUUUGAAUGCAGUUGUCUCUAAUGCAUAACUCCAAAAUGACGGUGGUAAAUCGGUAAGGUCAUAGAUCGCACCAUAUCUAAUAAAGUAUGGUUACGACGUUCGGACACACCAUUACAUUGUGGUUUUCCAGGUGGUGUGAGUUGUGAAACUAUUCCACAUUGUUUUUAAUGAAGGCCAAACUCGUAACUCAAAUAUUUGCCUCCGCGAUCAGAUCAUAGAAACUUUAUUUUCAUAUUACGAUGAUUCUCCACUUCACUCUGAAUUUCUUUGAACUUUUCAAAUGUUUCAGACUUGUGUUUCAUUAAGUAGAUAUACCCAUAUCUUCUCAAAUCAUCUAUGAAGGUCAAAAAAUAACGAUACCCGCCGUGAGCCUCAACACUCAUUGGACCGCAUACAUCGAUAUGUAUUAUUUUCAGUAAGUCAUUAGCUUGCUCCAUUGUUCUGAAGAAUAGAGUUUUAGCCAUCUUGCCCACGAGACAUGGUUCGCAAGUAUCAAAUGAUUCAUAAUCAAGUGAUUCCAAAAAUCCAUCUGUAUGGAGUUCUUCAUGCGCUUUACACCAAUAUGACCUAAACGGCAGUGCCACAAAUAUGUUACACUAUCAUUAUCAACUUUGCAUCUUCUGGCAUCAAUAUUAUGAAUAUGUGUAUCACUAGGAUCGAGAUUCAAUAAACCAUUUACAUUGGCUGUAUGACCAUAGAAGGUUUUAUUCAUGUAAACAGAACAACAAUUAUUCGCUAACUUAAAUGAAUAACUGUAUCGCAAUAAACAUGAUCCAAUCAAAUUCAUGCUAAAUGCAAACACCAAAUAACAUUUAUUUAGGUCCAACACUAAUCCCGAAGGUAGAGGUAGUGUGCUAUGGUGAUCUUAUCAGCCUUGGAAUCACUUCCAACACACAUCGUCACCUCGCCCUUAACUAGUCUAUAUUCAUUUUGCUACACCUAUUUUGAGUUACUAAUCUUAGCAACUGAACCGGUAUCAAAUACCAUCAGGUUACUAUGAACACUAGUAAAGUACACAUCAAUAACAUGUAUAUCAAAUAUACCUUUGUUCACUUUUCCAUCCUUCUUAUCCGCCAAGUAUUUGGGGUAGUGAUACGUCUCCAACGUAUCUAUAAUUUUUUAUUGUUCCAUGUUGUUAUAUUAUCAUUCUUGAAUGAUUGUCCUCGGAACCUGAGGGUGUACUUUGACCCUCCCAUGCACCUUCCAGGCCAAUGUUUGAGGUCGGGUUGUUUUGGGCCGGGGGCGACCCCUGGCCGCUAUUCCCGAUUCAGACUACGGGCUCGAGGCUAGCAGGGUGUUCUGGGGGAGGAGCUCGGCCGAGAUCGAAUCUUGGCCUUUGACCUCUGGUUCUGCCUCAAGGCCCGGGGAUAAAUCCUCUGUCGAUGUGAGUUCGGUUGACAAUGGGGUAAGGUCCCCUCUCCCAAGGAGUCCUUCCUCGCUCGAAGCAAUUUGGUGGACUAGGGCCGAUUUGCAGAUCGGAUCGAAGGUGUACGUCGGAGCAGGCACGACAAGGCUUGCGAGGGUGGUGAAUCCGGUGAAAACCAAAUCCCCCCGCGCGUUAGUGACGUACUCCAGAUUGCCGAAUCGAAUCUGGUGUUCGAGACCAAAGUUGUUGACCUGGUCGAGACGGUCGGUCGAAUCAGCGUGCAGCACGAUGCUACCAAAAGCAAAGAGUUGUCCCGGGAUGAAGAGAUCCAUGGAACUGAUGUCCUCUCCAAGGACUAAGCAAGCCAUCGAUACCUUCCAGUGAUCGAAUAGCGGAACUCUCAAUGAAAGCACCAAUGUCGGUGUCAAAACCGGCAGACCUCGGGGUAGGGGGUCCCGAGCUGUGGAUCUAGGAUCGAUGGGUAACAAGGGAUGAUGAACACAGUGUUUACCCAGGUUCGGGCCCUCUCGAAGAGGUAAAACCCUAUGUAGUGCUUGAUUGUAUUGAUUAUAUAACAUGGUUUACAGAGUAGAUCUACCUCGAGAUCAGCAUGAUCAAAACCCUAGGCUACGGGGGAUGAAGAUAGCUCUGCCCCUAAUGACUACAACCCUUGGUUUAUAUAGACACUGAUAGGGUUAGGGUUACCAAAGAUAGAUUACAAUUAGGAAUCAAAUAGAUCCUACGCCUUCUUGACUUGGAGGGCACACCAUGGCUUCAUAGAUCUCCUGUCAUAGCACGGCUCCACCAGUAUGGCCCAUGCACAAUGGGUCGUCGCCCCGAGGACACCUUAGUCCAUGACUCCCUCAACAUGCCUACAUUAUAUUUAUGAACUGGAGCUAGUUUUGUAUUACCCUAGGUUAUGAUUGUUAUAUGAUGAAUAUCAUCCAACCGAUUCACCGAUUCAAUGCCUACGAAUUUUCCACAUAUUGUUCUUGCUAAGUUACUACUGCUAUUGUUACUAUUACAACUACUACAAAAUUAUUGCUAUCACUGUUACCGUUACUGCUACUAUUAUCACUGCUAUCAAAAUUAUCAUAUUACCUGUGCUACUGAUUACUUUGCUGCAGAUACUUAAUCUCCAUGUGUGGUUGAAUUGACAACUCAACUGCUAAUAAUUGCAAAUAUUCUUUGGCUCCCUUUGUGUCGAAUCUAUAUAUUUGGGUUGAAUACUCUACCGUCAAAAACGGUUGUGAUCCCCUGUACUUGUGGGUUAUCAAGACCUUUUUCUGGCGCCGUUGCCAGCAACGGGGAGCAUAGCUAUAUUUGGUGAGUCACUUGGGAUUAUUAUCUAUUUACCACUAUGAAGAAUCAGAAGGUUACCAAGACCAAGAUAGUUCCCUCUAAUACGAGGUGAGGUAAGGAACUACCAUCUAGCUAUGCACUUGAUUCACCUUCUAUUUUGAGUAAACUUGCAACACCACCACAUGCUAUUAAUUCUGAUAUGUCACAACUUAUUGAUGAUGCUUCUGCUAUGGAUAAUUCUUAUGAUGAUGCUAGUAACUUGCUUGAUGAUAAUGUGCCACUAGGUGAAUUUGUUGAUAACACUUGCUAGAGCUAAAGAUAUUGAGAAUGCUGAAACUGAUGAAAUUAUUGAAAAUGAUGAAGUACUUGAAACUGGAAAUCUAGAAACACCUAUUAGACCUAGCUCUCCUAGAUAUGAAUUUCCUAAAAUUACCUGAGGGUUAUGUUAUGGAUGAGGAGACAACUCGAGACUUUCUUGCUUGCAGUGAUAGCAAUGAUCUUAUGAAAUUACUAUGCAAACUGAAAGCUAAAUCUUUGAAUGCUAGAAUCAAAAGUGAUCCUAAGUUUGCUACUUCACCUAUCUUUGUUGAUGAUAAGGAUUAUGAAUUCUCUGUCAACCCAGAGUUAAUUACUUUGGUUGAAUCUGAUCCUUUCCAUGGCUAUGAAACGGAAACUAUUGUGGCACACCUUACGAAAUUAAAUGAUAUAGCCACCCUAUUUACUCAUUAUGAGAAGAUUUGCUUUUAUUAUAUCCUCAAAUUAUUCCAUUCUCAUUAAAGGUUGAUGCUAAGAUAUGGUACAAUACUCUUGCUCCUGGUUGUAUGCAUAGUCCCUAGGAUAUGAUUUAUUACUUCUCUGAAAAACAUUUUCAUGCUCAUAAGAAACAAGCUGCCUUACAGGAAAUAUUUAAAUUUGUGCAAAUCAAAGAAGAGAGUCUCCCACAAGCUUGGCGGAGGCUUCUCCAAUUGCUUAAUGCUUUGCCUGAUCAUCCUCUUAAGAAAAAUGAAUACUUGAUAUCUUCCAUAAUGGAGUAACUGAAGCUUCUAGGGACUUCCUAGAUAGUUGUGCUGGUUGUGUUUUUUAGGGAACAAACUGUUGAACAAGCCGAGGAACUAUUGAGUAAUAUAUUGAAAAAUUAUGAUGAUUGGGCUCUUCCUGAACCACCGCCUAAGCCCACUCCAAAGAAGAGGGGUAUCUAUCUCAGUCCUGAAGAUAUGCAAGAGGCAAAGAAAUCUAUGAAAGAAAAAGGUAUUAAAGCAGAGGAUGGUAAAAACUUAUCUCCUAUUGAAGAAAUACAUGGACUUGACACACUACCACCACAGGUGGUAGAGGUAAAUUAUUUAGUGAAAUUUGAUGAAAGUGACAUCCCUUACAAUAAACAUCCUAGUCAAUGCAUUUAUGAGUUUAACAACUACAUUAGAAAACAAGAUCACUUCAAUGCAAAUGUUAUGAAACAAUUGAAAUACAAUUCUGAUAUGAUUGCUCGCUUGAGUAACUUGUUAUUUAGAAUCACUAAUGAUGUAAGAGGUGUAGGAAAACAUGCUUCUAUGGUUCAUAUCAACUAGAACAAGUUGCUAAAUCUCAAAAAGAUGUGCUUGAUGAAAUGAACAAUAAUAUAAAGGACUUUGUUGUUAGAGUAGCAACUAGAGGAGGUAAAAUGACUCAGGAACCACUUCAUCCUGAGGGACAUCAUAAAAGAAUUGAACAAGACUCUCAAAGAAUUAACGCUGAUGCACCUAGUCCUUCUAAAAAGAAAAAGAAAAAGGGAAAUGAUAGGAUUUUGCAUACCUCUAGUGAACCUAAAGUAGAAAAACCUCCUGAUAAUAAUAAUGAUGUUUCUAUUUCUAAUGCUAAAAUUCAAUCUAGUAAUGAACAUUCAUCUAGUGAUAAUGAAAAACAUAAUGAUGAUGUUCAUGAAGACACUCAACUAGACAAAGAUAAAGAACCAGAUAAUGAUGUUGAAAUAGAACGAGUUGUUGAUCUUGAUAACCCACAACCCAAAAAUAAAAGAUAUGAUAAAAUAGACUUUGUUGCCCAAAAACAUGGAAGGGAAAGAGAACCAUGGGUUCAAAAACCCAUGCCCUUUACACCUAAAUCAACUAAGGAAAAAGAUGAUGAAGAAUUUGAACGCUUUGCUAAAUGAUUUGGCCAGUCAUUUUGCGCACUCGCUUGACUGAUAUUUUAAAUAUGACCCCUUAUGCAAAAUAUAUGAAAGACAUCAUCACUAAUAAAAGGAAAAUACCUGAAGCUGAAAUCUCCACCAUGCUUGCUAAUUAUUCUUUUAAAGAUGGAGUACCUAAAAAACUUUGAGAUCCGGGAAUACCAACUAUACCUUGCUCCAUGAAAAGAAACUAUGUGAAAACUGCUUUGUGUGAUUUAGGAGUUGGUGUUAGUGUUAUGCCUUUAUCCUUAUAUAGAAGACUUGAUUUGAAUAAACUCACACCUACUGAAGUAGUUUUGCAAAUGGCUGACAUAUCAACAGCCAUACCUAUCGGUAUUUGUGAGGAUGUGCCCGUUGUUGUUGCAAAUGUUAUUAUCUUAACUUACUUUGUUAUACUUGAGAUGCCUAAGGACGACAACAUGUCUAUUAUCCUUGGUAGACCCUUCUUGAAUACUGCAGGGGCUAUUAUUGAUUGCAAUAAAAGCAAGGUCACUUUUCAUAUCAAUGGUAAUGAGCAUACGGUGCACUUUCCGAAGAAACAAUUCCAAGUGAAUGGUAUUAAUGUUAUUGAAAUAUAAACGACACUCACUAUUGGAAGUUUUCAACCACCCCUACCUACUGCCAAAAAGAAAAUUGAAAUGCUUAUUGUUGGGGACAUGCAUAUCCCCAUUGAGGUAACUUAGUGUUAUACGAAAGUUUUUUUGGUUUCAUGCUAAUCGAAGGUUGGUUGUUAAUAAGACUUGAUCAACCUUAUUAAUGGCUCAUUUUUUAGAGGUGUGAAGUUGAUGAAUUUAGUAGGCACUGCCUUUUAUCCUUAUCUAUUGUUCUCUGUUUUUCUUAGUUAAAUAAAAUAAAAUGCCAUGUAUUGUCUGUUUUCUGAAUUUCUCGUGCAAUAAAAAAAUGACCCAAAAAUAAGAGUUCUCAGAAUGCCCUGAAAAUUUAAUGCAAUUUUAUCUGAAUAUUUCUGAAUUUUUAGUGCAAAUAACAUCAGGGGGUGCACCAGGUGAGCACAACCCACAUGGGCGCGCCAGCAACCCCACGCGCACCCUGGUGGGUUGUGGUCCCCAUGUGGGCCCCCUCACUUAUUUCUUUAGCCCAUGUCAUCUCCUACCUCCAGAAAAAAAUCACCAUUGCUCUCUUUCUCUCUCUCCUGUUCUUGCUCUCAAACCCACGGAUUUUGAUCUCUUUGCUCGAAGAUCCCUUUUCGAAACUGUUUUGGCGGAUUGCUUCUUGGUAUGUGACUCCUCCAUUGCUCCAAUUAGUUUUUGCUGUAGUGGAUUAUAUUUUGAAUAAUUAGCUACUAUUGGUGUUGUUGUAGAAGAGCUUGCAUGUCGAAUUCUUAGAGUGCUAAGUAGUUUGAAUGCUUGAUAUGGUCUCUCUGCAUCCUUAUGAGUAGUUGCUAUCAAUCUUGUGAAGUUUUGUUAACAAAAAUUUUGUGGACUAAAAAUUUUAGAAUUUUAUUUAUAGGAAUAAGAUGAGUUUCUUUAGGAAGUUUGCCGCCAAGAAAAAUGCUAAGGGAGUCAUUGGGCAAUCACCGUACAAUGACCUCCAAACUCGGAGAAGGGCGGAGGUGCGGCCGUGCGAAUGGCCGCAUAAUCCCUUCAUGGAUGGAGUCGGAAUCCGUCAAGAGUUCACGCAAUUUUCUGCUAAUGCUGGGAUCACCGACUUCAUCGCAAUUGAGGGCGGAUAUAGGAUUAUGCCAGAUGACAUCAUCACCUACCGGAAUGCCCAGGCAGUGGUAGAGGGGAGCCCCAGGAGUGGGAUUCUCAAGUGCCGCCGUGGCAGCACUUUGACAUGGGACCAGAUGGCUACUACAGAUGGUGAUUACCAAGCUAGGCCAAAAGCCUAAGCUUGGGGGAGUACAUAUUUCCACCGACAUUACAUUCAUGUUCACACAUUUCAUUCUAGUUGUCGGUGUUCACAAUUCUUCAUUGUAUUAUCCAUGCUAGAUUUAUUUUCUCGCUUUCUUCUUGUGUGUUUGAAAAACUUAGAGAAAACCCAAAAAUAUUUCUUGUUUCUCUUCGGUCUUUCUAGUUUAAUUAGUUGUGGUAUUAAAAGAAAACCCAAAAAGAUCUCCUGAUUCUUCUUUUGCUUGUUGGGAGCUUUCCCGUGUAAAUAGUUUUCUCAUUUUGUUUUUGUUUAAUUUGCUUUCUUCUAGAAAAAACUAAAACUCCAAAAAUAUUUCAGUGUUUUUCUCGGAAAUUCUUUUCUGUUUAUUGAGUCAUAUCGAGGAAAGACCACGAUGAAAAUGUUGAGUGGCUCUCAUAUGCAUUAUUGUUGAUCUAACAAAGAUCCCACAUUGCUUUGUCUUCUCCUUUUGAAUAAAAUGUUUCUAGAUUCCAGCUUAGUUCAUGGCACUCUUGCACUAUUAUUAUUUUCAUAUCAUUCGGUCAUGCAAGUGAAAGGCAAUAAUGAUGAUAUUUGAUGAACUAGUUGUGGAAGAGAGAAACGGGUAUGAACUCGACUUGUUCUAUUUUUUAAAAUAUGCUCAACCUAGUAUCCAUGAUUUAGCAUAUUAUGAUCAAACAUGUUUGUAAUGACAAUUAUAGAUUGUAGUUUCUCAUGCCAUGCUUAAGUAGCUAGGAGUGGAUAAUGAUUUAUCUUGGGUGUCGACAUUGCGUGAAAAUGAUUGUGAUGUAGUAUGAUGAUAUGGUAUCGUCCUCUGAAUGUUUCGAGUGGCUUGACUUGGCACAUGUUCAUGCAUGUAGUUGAAUAAAAACAGCCUCUAUGAUAUUUAUGUUCAUGGUGUUCAUAUCCUACUCAUGCUAGUAUCCAAUAUUCAUUAUGCAUAAUGCGUGUUCAUGACUGUUUUCGCUCUCUAGUUGGCCGCUUCCCAACCUAUUUGCUAGCCUUCGCCUGUACUAAGUGGGAAUACUGCUUGUGCAUCAAAAUCCUAAAACCCAAGUUAUUCUAGAUGAUUCCACCAUAUCUACCUAUAUACGGUAUUACCAUGCUGUUCCACGUAAAUUUGCAUGUGCCACCUCUAAAAACUUCAAAUAAAUUUCUGUUUUUGUGUGCAUGUAUUGUUCAUAGAGCGACAGGGGGUAGUCAGUAUCUUCCAUGCUAAGCGGGCUAUUCUCAUUAUGAGUGUUUAUUCACUCGUCUUUGCACGAGCGGGGCGGUAAUAGGGAUUGCCAGUCCCAAAAUCAAAAAGUGCAAAUAAUUAAACAAAUAUCCCCCAGGAUUGUUGUUGGUAUGGACGGUACCCGUGGAUUCGGCUAGCCAUGGAGUGUGAUUGUUGGUGGAUGGGGAGUAAACCUUUUACUUUUAUCGCUUGGGAACCGCCACUAAUGUGUUUAGCAUGGAAGAUAUUGAUAACUUUCGGUCAUGACGUAAGCAGGAAGGGUGCAUUUCACAAAAUUUCAUUUACAUUUGUUUUAAAAUCUGAGCUCUGGCAUCACUGCAAAUCCCUGCUUCCCUCUGCGAAGGGACAAUCUAUUUACUUUUAUGUUGAAUCAUCACCUUCUCAAAUAAGCUCCAGAUUCUGAGAGCACUAUUGUCAUCCUCAUGCAUUAUGUAUAGUUAAUGUUGGAUGCAUCAUGACUGGAUCUUUUCUACCAUGAAUUACAAUGUUUAUUCGCUGCUUCAACUUUGGAGGUGCUCUGCAUUUAUGUUUUGGUCUCAAAAAGGGCUAGCGAGAUACCACUGUUGUCAUAUUAUAUCAUGAUUGUUUUGACAAUGUGUUGGAAUUUGAGAUAUCUUAUAUAUUAUUGGUCGCUAGUUGAUUAUGCCAUUGAUAAGAGUUAAUAUAAUUUUUAAGAGUUAUUGCUGACAUGGUUAGUCAUGAUCUUUGUUGAAAGCAUAGGUGCUACUUAAGCUUAUUUAUGUAAACAAGAGCAAAAGAGUUCGUAAAAGUUUUUCUUUUUCAAUUUCAGUUUGUCAACUGAAUUGAUUAAGGACAAGCAAGGGUUUAAGAUUGGGGGAGUUUAUACGUCUCCAUUGUAUCUACUUUCCCUAAUGCGUUUCCUCUUGUUUAGGACUCUAAUUUGCAUGAUUCGAAUGAAACUAACACGGACUGGCAUUGUUUUCAGCAGAACUACCAUGGUGUUGUUUUGUGUAGAAAUAAAAGUUCUCGGAAUGGAACAAAACUUUUUGGAUAUUUAUUAUAAAAGAAAAAUACUGGAGCCAAGAACCAACGGAGGGGGGGCCUGGGUGAGCACAACCCACCAGGGCGCCCCCCCCCCCUCCGGGCAAGCCCCCUGGUGGCCCCACAGACCCUAUCUCCGACUCCUUAAAUACCCUUAUUUGGAGAGAAAAAUCAAGGAGGAAGAAUUAUCUCAUUUCACGAUACGGAGCCGUCGCCACCUCAUGUACUUCAUCGGGAGGCCGUAUCCGGAGUUCGUUCAGGGCUCCAGAGAGGGGGAUCUUUGAUCUUCGUCAUCACCAACCCUUCUUCAUCGCCAAUUCCAUGAUGCUCCCCACCGGGAGUGAGUAAUUCCUUCAUAGGUUCACUGGUCGGUAAGGAGUUGGAUGAGAUUCAUCAUGUAAUCGAGUGAGUUUUGUUAUGGCUUGAUCCUUAAUAUCCACUAUGUUUUGAGAUUGAUAUUGUUAUGACUUUGCUAUGCUUAAUGCUUGUCACUAGGGACCGAGUGCCAUGAUUUCAGAUCUGGACCAUUUAUAUUUUCAUCAUUAUAUCUAUGUUCUAGAUCCAAUCUUGCAAGUCAUAUUCACUUAUUACGUGUUAUGAUCCGUAAACCCCGGAGUGACAAUAGUCGGCCUACUUUCCGGUGAUGACCGUAGUUUGAGGAGUUCAUGUAUUCACUAUGUUGUGUUAAUGCUUUGUUCCAGUUCUCUAUUAAAAGGAGGCCUUAAUAUCCCUUAGUUUCCUUAUGGACCCCGCUGCCAUGGGAGGGUAGGACAAAAGAUGUCAUGCAAUUUCUUUCCAUAAGCAUGUAUGACUAUUUACGGAAUACAUGCCUACAUUAUCUUUAUGAACUGGAGCUAGUUUUGUAUUGCCCCAGGUUAUGACUGUUAUAUGAUGAAUAUCAUCCAGUGCAUUCACUGAUCCAAUGCCUAAGAAUUUUCCACAUAUUGUUCUUGCUAAGUUAGUACUGCUAUUGUUACUGAUACAACUGCUACAAAAUUAUUGCUAUCAACUAUUACUGUUACUGCUACUAUUAUCACUGAUAUCAAAAUUAUCAUAUUACCGUGCUACUGAUUACUUUGCUGCAGAUACUUAAUCUUCGGGUGUGGUUGAAUUGAUAACUCAACUGCUAAUACUUGCAAAUAUUCUUUGGCUCCCCUUGUGUCAAAUCUAUAAAUUUGGGUUGAAUACUCUACCCUCAGAAACUGUUGUGAUCCCCUAUACUUGUGGGUUAUCAUCAUUCGGUGGCUCCGAGUUGCUAGGGUUUCACUGAAAUUUUACUAUCGGUCUCCUGAUUAGUACGUUUCGGUGGAACUGAGCUGUACUUGUGCAAUAGCCAGGGCCAAAUCAGUGGGACCGAAAAUUCCUAUUCGCUCGGUCCAAGAUGCAUCGUCGGAAACCUAAACCCAAUUUUUUGCACAAAUUUAUCCUAAUGAACUAAUCUGGUGGAUAGAAGUAUUGCAACCGUGGCAAGAUAUAUGGCAAAAUCCUUGUGCAUUGAAUCAGAUAUAAAGAGGCACGAGGAGAUCGAAUCUCAUUCUAACUUGAUGGAGAUCCUCUACAGCGGCAACAGCGAGGAAGAUUGCCAUUGACAGUGGCGGAUUCCUGUGGUGAAGGCGCACAGGAGACGAUGGCGACGAUCCAGAGACCAAGGGGGCGACAGCAAUGGGGUGCGGGGUUGUAGAGUUUGAAGUGAUUUUCAAUGUAUGUCGCAUGAAGUAUAUAUACAUGUAUGCUACCGGUGGCACCGAGUGGAACAAGUCGGUGGCACUGAGAUGUGCAACUGCGUGCAAUUACAGCAAAUCGGUGUGACCAAGUUGGUCUAAUCAGUAGCGCCGAGAUGAAAACCUAGAUCAGUCUUUAUGAUUUUGGUUCGACCGAGUUUGAGUGUAUUGGUCUGACCGAAAUGCAUGAAGAGGGUUUCGGAGGUCAGCCCUUGAUGGAUCGGUGACUCCGAGUUCUCCUCACCCGGAGGGUCCAUAAAGAACUUGUUCAAUUUUUGUGAUAUAGCAUAAAAAGUAUUUGAGACAAGAAGAGCAUAGAUAGCAAGAGGAGGUUCUUAGUCAUUCUUGUACAUCCACUUGGCUAACAAAAACCAAGACAAUCAAACCAACAAAUGGAUGUCCUCCAAUGAAGAAAAUAUGCAACCAACAUGUUCACAUAAUAAAAUAUCAAAUGAAAUAUGAGCCAAACAUGCACAACCAAUUCUAGCAUCUAUCAAGCAAUUGACGAUGACUAGGUCAUCUAUAUAUGAGUAUAUUGACUUAGGAGUCAAAUGAGAACAUUUGAUCAUAGGUCAUACUCAUCGUUUAAGCACAAAUGGGGUUACCACUUUUACAUAAAGCAUUAAUGUGUUCACACCAUUACAGUUUCUUUAGCUCAAUUUUUAGAGCAAACCUCCUCCUAGAUGUGAUAUCCCCCAAAAGAGGGAUGAACUAACCUUGGGUUUUGUCGAUGAUGACUUCAUGUAGAUAGUGAAGAUGUGGAUGCUCAAUGUUGAUGUAGAUCAUUUGGAACAAGCCUUUGGAAUGUGUUGCACUUUCAAUACCUACAUGGGUUAGUCCCACAAGGAACACACAAGGAUAUCCAUAGACAUAGAGUGAAUUACACAUAUGAUGAUGUCCAUGAAAGCAUUAGGUUACCUUAUCCCUUGUAUUACCAACAAGAGGGUUUGUGACUCCAUGAACUAGUGCAAGAUAUGAAAGUUGAUUGCACAAGUCCUCGCCAUUAUGAAUGUGAGUGAAGUAUGUUGGCAGAGUCACCCUCAAGAACACUCUAGUUCUUCUUCUUUGGGACCCACAUCAACUUGAUGGGAAUCCUUGGAGUUGGAGUUGUACUUGAUGAAGUAGAGCUUGACGUACUCUUCGGAACCCACUUGACCAUGGCCUUAGGAGCUUCUUCAAAUGAGUCAAUCUCUUCUUGAAGCUUGUCCUUGACUUUUAACUUGUGGUCUUGUGGUGGAAGAUCAUCUUGCGUUUGUGUUCCCUCAAAAUAAGUGGGGUCAUACUUCUUUUGUUGAUGAACAAACUUUUUAUUGGGGUAUUGAUCUUCUUCCCAUUCAACUCCAUUGGAACUGAACUUUCGAUCAAAACCAACACCUUGAUUCUUCCGGUGUCUUCCUAGCUUGCAUACAAUUUCCUCAAAUUGCUUACUCCCAUCAAUACUCUUGUAAACACCUUUCUCUAUAAUUCCCUUUAAUAAGCUAUUUUCUUGCACAAGUGUAACUUGGCUAAGAAAAACAUUAGUGGGAUCAAGAGAACUACUAGAAGCAACAAUAUUGGAUUUAGCAUGCUUAUUAUUACUCCUAGAAGAAGAAUCUUUCUUGCUCUUGUUACUAGAUUUUACUUGUGGCAUAUAAGUAGAGAAGAGGAGACAUUUGGCAAGGUAAGAAGAACUCUUCUUUCGAAGAUCAUCAUUGAUAGCCUUUAGGAACUCAUGCUCUUGCUCUAAAUUUAGCUUCUCGAAGCAUAGCUUCUCAUGAGUCCCUAGGAGCUCUCUAUGAUCCUCUUGAGUUGUUUCAUGAGCUAACUUAAUAGUGUUUAAUUCUUUAGUUAGACGCUCAAUCUCCUUCUUGUCAUUGUCAUUCGUUUCAUCUUGAUUAGCAUGAUUACUAGCAAGUUCAUCAUAGUUUUCAUUACUAGUUUUGUCAACAAGUAAAUCGUCAUCAUCUAGAAAAUCGCCUUCAUCACUAUCAAAAUCAAGAUACUCAGGGUGUGAUACCUUGGGGCCUUUAGCCAUGAAGCAUCUUCCAAUUCCUUCAUUUGGUGAAUCAAAUAUGUCAUGGGACUUGGAUGACACUAGUGCAAGACCGGCAACACCUUCAUCUUGAGUACAUUCAAAGUCGGAGUGAUAGCUUCUCCUAGAGUAGUUGUGAGAGUCGGAACCAGAAACCCACUCACCAACAUGAGCUUGAUAUCUUCGUCUUAUGUAUCUCUUUGAUGACUUGUCCUUCCUUCCCGAAUCUUUGCUUCUUCGAGAGGGUCUUCGUUCAUAGCGAUCAUCUAUAUUCCUUCUCUAUCUUGGAGGUGAUUCAUCUCUUCUACUUAUCAUUUUUGGUGAGUAUUCUCUUUUCUUGUAGGGAGCCAUACACUCAUUUGAGUAGUGUCUGGGUCUUCCACAAUUGUAGCAAUUACGAUCACGACUAGAAGAUCUUUUGUCAUUGUAGGACCUUGACUUAGAGCUUCUCUCUUUGCUUCUAAUCUUUUAGAACUUGUUUAAGUUCUUCACCAUUAAGCUUAAUUCUUCAUUGGAGACUUGCUUUUCACUCGAUGUUGUAGGAGCAUCACUUGAAGCUUUGUAAGCACCACUUGACUUAUUGUGGAGCUCUUCCUUAUCCUUGAGUGACCUCUCAUGAGCAAUAAUUCUACCAAUGACUUCCAUGGGCUUGAGAUCAUUGUAAUUGGGCAUCAUUUGGACCAACGUGCACAUAGUAUCAUAUUUUCCAUCCAAGGCUCUAAGGAUCUUCUUGAUGAUGAAUUUGUCGAUCAUCUAUUCACUUCCUAAACUGACGAUCUCAUUUGUGAUGAGUGCAAGCCUAGAGUACAUUUCGGCGAAUCCUUCACCAUCCUUCAUUUUCAACUUGUCAUUUUGACUUUGAAGCACAUCCAACUUGGAUUCCUUGAUUGACUCUGUACCUUCAUGCAUAUCAACCAAAGUAUCCCUAAUUUCCUUUGCAUUCUCAAGGCGGCUUGUUUUGUUGAAUUCUUCGGGGCACAAUCCAUUGAAGAGAAUAUCACAAGCUUGAGCAUUGUAUUGCAACAUCUUCAAUUCUUCCGCAGUUACUUCACGAUCUGGUUCUUUACCAUCCUCAGAGAAUUCACCUUGCAAGCCAACACACACAACAGCCCAAACGGCGGGGUUAUGACCAAGAAUAUGCAUUUUCAUCGUAUGCUUCCAACUAGCAAAAUUUGUACCAUCAAAAUAGGGAUCUCUACGGUGAUAGUUACCCUUGCUAGACGUCAUACUCUCCUAGGUUGUGAAACCAAGGCUAUGAUCACUAAAGAUAUGGAAAUAAAGGCUAAUGGAGACCAAAGCUCUGAUAUCACUUGUAGGAUCAAAAGUAUGUCUAGAGGGGGGUGAUUAGACUACUUAACCAAAUAAAAUCUUUCCUUUUCCUAAUUUUAGUUGUGGGCAGAUUUUAGCAAUUAUGACAAGUCAAGCAAUCAACCUACACAUGCAAUUCUAAGAGUAUAGCAGCGUAAUGUAAAACAUGGCAUAUGAACCUAAAGGAAAGGGUUUGGAGAAGGAAAAUGCAAUGGAGACACAAUGAUUUUUGGUGUGGUUCCGAUAGGUGGUGCUACCGUACAUCCACUUUGAUGAAGACUUCAACGCACGAAGGGUAACGGCUGCGCGAGUCCACGGAGGACUCCACCCACGAAAGGUCCACGAAGAAGCAACCUUGUCUAUCCCACCAUGGCCAUCGUCCAUGAUGGACUUGCCUCACUCGGGUAGAUCUUCACGAAGUAGGUGAUCUCCUUGCCCUUACAAACUUCUUGGUUCAACUCCACAUCAUGUCAGAGGCUCCCAAGCGACACCUAACCAAUCUAGGAGACACCACUCUCCAAAAGGUAAUAGAUGGUGUUUUGAUGAUGAACUCCUUGCUCUUGUGCUUCAAAUGAUAGUCUCCCCAACACUCAACUCCCUCUCUCACAGAUUUGGCUAUGGUGGAAGAAGGAUUUGAGUGGAAAACAACUUGGGGAAGGCUAGAAAUCAAGGUUCAAAUGGUAGGAGUGGAAUCUCUUGAUCUCAACACAUGAGUAGGUGGUUCUCUCUUAGAAAAUGAAUGGUGGAGGUGUAUGCACGUUCUGAUGGCUCUCCUUCAUAAGGAAGAAGGGGUGGAGGGGUAUAUAUAGCCUCCAAACAAAAUCUAACUGUUACACACUUUUGACUCAUCUCGGUGGCACCAAUUAGGAAACUCAUGGCACCGAUCUGUUCAAAAAUACGAACAUUAGGAAUCUCGAUGGGACCGAUGGGAACAACUCGGUGGGACCGAUGUGCUAGGGCUUAGGCAAACAUCUUCUCGAUGGCACCGAUUGCAUAAACUCGGUGAGACCGAAGUGAAGCAAUAAGGCAACAGAGAGUUGGCAAGCCAUCUCGGUGAGACCGAAAUAAUUGCAACAAGUAACAGAAAGUUGGCAAGGCCAUCUUGGUAGGACCGAGAUCCAUAUCGGUGUGACCGAAUCAUUAGGGUUUUGGCUGUAGCUAUGUCUUAGUGAACUCGGUGGCGCCAAACCAAAUCGUUAGGGUUUUGACAUAUUUGGAUAGAGAAAGUGGAUGAGGGUUUUGGAGCAAUAUCACUAAGCACGUUGAGCAAGUAGACCAUUAGGCAACACCUCAUCCCGUUUUAAUAGUAUUGCUUUCCUAUGGACUCAGUGUGAUCUUGGAUCACUUAAACAAAAAUGAAGAGUCUUGAGCUUUUGCCAAUCCUUGUCCUUAGCAUUUAGAGCAGUCCACAUCUCUAUGUCAUGCCAUGCCAUACAUUGAACAUCCUGAAACAUUUAUCUUGAAUGGAUAUUAGUUCAGUGAGAUAUAUGUUGUUAUGAAUUACCAAAACCACCUGGGGAUUAGUUGCACUUUCAUAUAGGACAAGACGGAUUGCAAUCAAUAUCAAGAACAAUAAAAUCUAUGGGCACAUAGUUCCUAUUUGUAAGAAUAAGGACAUCAUUAAUUCUUCUCAAAGGCUUUUUAAUAGUAAAAUCUGCCAAGUGCAAAUUAAGAGAACAUUCUUCCAACUUGGUGAAACCUAGUACAUCACAUAGAGAUUUCGGAAUUGUGGAAACACUAGCACCCAAAUCACAUAAAGCAUUGCACUCAUAAUUUUUGAUCUUGAAUUUAAUGGUGAGUUCCCAUUCAUCAUAUAAUUUUCUAGGAAUUAAAAUUUCUAAUUCUAACUUUUAUUCUAAAGCUGUCAUCAUCGUUUCUACAAUAUGUUUAGUAAAAGCUUUAUUUUGUUCAUAUGCAUUGGGUGAAUUUAUCAUGGAUUGUAACAAAGAAAUACACUCAAUCAAAGAGAAACUAUCAUAAUUAAAAUCUUUGUAAUCCAAAAGAGUGGGCACAUCACUAGUUAAAGUUUUUACCUCUCCAAACCCACUUUUAUCAAAAUUUUCAACAAUAUUUUCACCCUCCGAAUUAUGAGGAAUCCUUCUAGUUAAAGUUGACCCUUCUUCAGUCCUCUUAUCAUCAAUUUUAAUAUUACUAAACAAGGAUUCGAUAGAAGAAACACCAAUCAUCUUAACAUCUUCAUUGUUACUACGAAAAAACAGCCGGAAUCGCUUUUUCUAAAAAUUCUCUUUUGGCUCUUAGCGUAGAGGUUCCCUUUUUACUCUCAUCAAUGGAAAAAUAUAUAACCUUAAUUGAUUCAUUGACAUCAACCUUGGGUGGAAAAUUUUUAAUCUUGAGAUUUUUCUACAUCAUGCGUAAUUCUACCAAUACUCCUAGACAUAUCAUCAAUCUUAUUCAAUUUUUCUUCUAUCAUAGUGUUGGAAACUUUUAGAGCAUUAGUAAAUUCUUUAGUAUGACUCUCAAGAUCAGAGGGUGUCCUAUUAUUGUUAUUAUAAGAAUUAUCAUAGCAAUUGUCAUGAUUAUUAGAGGAAUUUCAAGGAAAAGGCCUAGGAUUAAGAUUACCUCUAUAAGCAUUGUUAUUAAAAUUGUUUUGCGAGAAAAAAUUCACAUCUACGGGAUCACUAUUUUUCUCAAUCAAAGUAGACAAAGGCACAUCAUUAAGAUCAAUAGGAGCAUUUUCACUAGCAACCAAUUUCAUAAGUGCAUCAACUUUUUCACUCAGAGUACUAAUUUCUUCAAUAGAAUUAACCUUUUUACUAGUAGGUGCUCUUUCGGUAUGCCAUUGCAAAUAAUCUUGCAACCCAAAACGUAAGAGAGGUUGUCAAUCCCUCCACGGUAUUGUGAUAGAUUAAAUUGUAUAGGUUUUGGUAAAUAGAUCUAGCAAAAAUAAAUAAAUAAAAAUCGUAGCAAGGUAUUUUUGGUUUAAUAUGAUAGGAAAUAGACCCAGGGGCCAUAGUUUUCACUAGAGGCUUCUCUCAAGAAAAUAGCAUACGGUGGGUAAACAAUUAUUGUUGGGCAAUUAACAAAAAAGAAAAUAAUUAUGACGACAUCCAAGGCAAUGAUCAUGUAUAUACGCAUCACGUCCAAGAUUAGUAGAUCGACUCCUGCCUGCAUCUACUACUAUUACUCCACACAUCGACCGCUAUCCAGCAUGCAUCUAGUGUAUUAAGUUCAUGGAAAAAUGAAGUAAUGCAAUAAGUAUGAUGACAUGAUGUAGACAAGAUAAACUCACGUAUGAAUAAACCCAAUCUUGUUACCCUUAAUAGCAAUGAUACAUGCGUGUUAUGUCUCUUUCUCUCACUGAGAUUGAGCACCGCAAGAUCAAACCCAUCACAAAGCACCUCUUCCCAUGGCAAGAAAUAUCAAUAUAGUUGGCCAAACCAAACCAAAAUUUCGGAGAAGAAAUACGAGGCAAUAACAAUCAUGCACAUAAGAGUUCAAAGAAGACUCAAAUAAUAUUCAUAGAUAGAUCUGAUCAUAAACUCACAAUUCAUCGGAUCCCAACAAACACCGCAAAAAAGAGUUACAUCAAAUAGAUCUUGAAGAACAUUGAGGAAACAUUGUAUUGAAGAUCAAAAAGAGAGAAGAAGCUAUCCAGCUACUAGCUACGAACCCGUAGGUCUGUGGUAAACUACUCAUGCAUCAUCGUAGGGGCAACAAGGAUGAUGAAGAACCCCUCCGUGAUUGUUGCCCCAUCUGGAAGAGUGCCGAAAAAGGCCUCUAGAUUGGAUCUCGUGGUUCUAGAACUUGCGGCGGUGGAAACUAUAUUUCCUCGACUCCCCUAGGGUUUUGGGGAUUUUAGAGUAUUUAUAGAGGCAGAAGUAGGUCAAGAAGCUUCUCGUGGGCCCCAGUACCCACCAAGGCGCGCUAGAGGCCCCUGGCGCGCCCUGGUGCCUAGUGGGCCCCACGGGCCUCCUCUCGUGUUCUCCUUUGGCUCCCAGGGUGUCUUCUGGCCAGAAAAAAUCUCCAAAAAAUUUCGUGUCAUUUGGACUUCGGUUGGUAUUGAUAUUCUGCAAAGUAAAAAAAACAAGCAAAACAGCAACUGGCACUGGGCACUAUGUCAAUAGGUUAGUCCCAAAAAAUGAUAUAAAGUUGCUAGUAAAUCAAUAUAAAACAUCUAAGAUUGAUAAUGUAAUAGCAUGGAACAAUAAAAAAUUAUAUAUACGUUGAAUACACAUCACCGGCAAUCUCCUUCUUCAUGUAAACCUUGCAUAUUAAGAGAUAAAACGCAUUAGAAUUGCUCCAUAAAGUGUUAUAUUGAUUAAAAAACUAUAAAUAACAGUAGGAAAACAUGAUGCAAAAUGGACGUAUCAACUCCCCCAAGUUUAGACCUCUCUUGUCCUCAAGCGAAAGCCGAUAUCGAUAAUCAUGUACACAUGUUUAGAGACAGAGAGAGAGAGAGAGAGAGAGAGAGAGAGAGAGAGAGAGAGAGGUGUCGGUAAAAACAAAAUACAGACAUAGUAGCAUCAUGAUCAUUAUUAUAACAGCAAUAUUCAUUACCAUAUAAAGCAUAAACUUUCUUGAAAACUAACAAACUAUGUUUUCAGUCAACAACGCAAUUGCAAUUCAUCAUAUUUUCAGGAAGGGUCUCAUGUCGGAGCUUUUUAGCAAGUCCACAUACACAACCAUCAUUUAGUCUCCUAUGAUUGCUAACACUCACAACAUAUAUAUGGAGCAAAAAGUUUUAGCCAGACACAUAGAAAGAUAGGGGCUUAUAAUUUCGCCUCCCAACUCAUUCACCUCAAGGGUGAUGUCAACAAUAAUAACUCAUGAUCACUCAUAUCCAACUGGAUAUAUAUGCCUAGAUCUUUCCCCACCACAUGAUGCUUACAAAUGAGAAAAAUAAAAAAGGAAUAGAGGAGAACGUUAUUGACUCUUGCAUAAAAAGUAAAUAGACAAAAGUAAAAGAUAGGCCCUUCGCAGAGGGAAGCAAAGGUUGUCAUGCGCUUUUUGUUUUUGGAUGCACAAUCUCUUAAUGCAAAGGAACGCCACGUUAUAUUGCCCCUUGUGAUAGCAAUAUUUAUUAUGCAGUCUGUCACUUUUAUUUCUUUACCAUCACAAGUCCGUACAAUGAUUAUUUUCCCUUACAAUAAAAGAUCAAACAUAUUUAGAGGCAAUUUUUAUUUCUUUAUGCACCGAUGACAACUUACUUGAAGGAUCUUAUUCAAUUCAUAGGUAGGUAUAGUGAACUCUCAUGACAUGAAACUGGGUUUAAGGUUCCUAGGUGCAUGAUGACCCACGAGUAUAGGGGAUCUAUUGUAGUCCUUUCGAUAAGUAAGAGUGUCGAACCCAACGAGGAGCAGAAGGAAAUGACAAGCGGUUUUCAGUAAGGUAUUCUCUGCAAGCACUGAAAUUGUAGGUAACAGAUAGUUUUGUGAUAAGAUAAUUUAUAACGGGUAACAAGCAAUGAAAGUAAAUAAGGUGUAGCAAGGUGGCCCAAUCCUUUUUGUAGCAAAGUACAAGCCUGGACAAAUUCUUAUAAUGAGAAAAGUGCUCCCGAGGACACAUGGGAAUUAUCGUCAAGCUAGUUUCUUCACGCUCAUAUGAUUCGCGUUCGUUACUUUGAUAAUUUGAUAUGUGGGUGGACUGGUGCUUGGGUACUGCCCUUUCUUGGACAAGCAUCCCACUUAUGAUUAACCCCUAUUGCAAGCACCCUCAACUACAAAUAAAUUAUUAAGGUAAACCUAACCAUAGCAUGAAACAUGUGGAUCCAAAUCAACCCCUUACGAAGCAACGCAUAAACUAGGGUUUAAGCUUCUGUCACUCUAGCAACCCAUCAUCUACUUAUUACUUCCCAAUGCCUUCCUCUAGGCCCAAAUAAUGGUGAAGUGUCAUGUAGUCGAUGUUCACAUAACACCACUAGAGGAGAGACAACAUACAUCUCAUCAAAAUAUCGAACGAAUACCAAAUUCACAUGACUACUAAUAGCAAGACUUCACCCAUGUCCUCAGGAACAAACGUAACUACUCACAAAGCAUAUUCAUGUUCAUAAUCAGAGGGGUAUUAAUAUGCAUUAAGGAUCUGAACAUAUGAUCUUCCACCAAAUAAACCAACUAGCAUCAACUACAAGGAGCAAUCAACACUACUAGCAACCCACAGGUACCAAUCUGAGGUUUUGGUACAAAGAUUGGAUACAAGAGAUGAACUAGGGUUUGAGAGGAGAUGGUGCUGGUGAAGAUGUUGAUGGAGAUUGACCCCCUCCCGAUGAGAGGAUCGUUGGUGAUGACGACGGUGAUGAUUUCCCCCUCCCGGAGGGAAGUUUCCCCGGCAGAACAGCUCCACCGGAGCCCUAAAUUGGUUCCGCCAAGGUUCCGCCUCGUGGCGGCGGAGUUUCGUCUCGUAAGCUUGCUUAUGAUUUUUUUUCCCAAGGUAAAAGACUUCAGAUAGCAUAAGAUGGGCACCGGAGGGCUGCCAGGUGGCCCACGAGGCAGGGGGCGCACCCCCACCCUCGUGGCCAGGGUGUGGGCCCCCUCUGGUACUUCUUCCGCUGAAUAUUUAUCAUUAAUUCCAAAAAUGACUUUCAUGGAGUUUUAGGACUUUUGGAGCUGUGCACAAUAGGUCUCCAAUAUUUGCUCCUUUUCCAGCCAAGAAUCCCAGCUGCCGACAUUCUCCCUCUUCAUGUAAACCUUGUAAAAUAAGAGAGAAUAUCCAUAAGUAUUGUGUCAUAAUGUGAAAUAACAUCCCAUAAUGCAAUAAAUAUCGAUAUAAAAGCAUGGUGCAAAAUGGACGUAUCAACUCCCCCAAGCUUAGACCUCGCUUGUCCUCAAGCGGAAACCGAUAUCGAAAAAUAUGUCCACAUGUUUAGAGAUAGAUGUGUCGAUAAAAAUAAAAUACGGACAUGAGGGCAUCAUGAUCAUUCUUAUAACAGCAACAUAUAUAUAUAUAUAUAUAUAUAUUGUCAUAUGAUUUCUUAUGCUCAAGCAACAAUCUAUUCACAAUGUCAAGUAUGAUUCAGAAACUUCAUUAAGAACUAACAAACUAUAAUCUCAGUCACUGAAGCAAUUGUAAUUUAUCAUAAUAUCAGAAAGAGUCAAUAAUAGAGCUUAUCAGCAAGUCCACAUACUCAACUAUCAUUUAGUCUUCCACAAUUGCUAACACUCACGCAAUACUUAUGGUUCUGGAGUUUUAGUCGGACAUAGAGAAAGAUAGGGGCUUAUUGUGUUGCCUCCCAACCUUUUACCUCAAGGGUAAUGUCAACAAUAAUAGUUCAUGCUAACUUACAUCCAAUUGGAUAUAUAUAUCAGGAUCUUUCCAACACGAGGUGCUUGCCAAAGGAUAAAAAUAAAAAGGGAAAGGUGAAGAUCACCUUGACUCUUGCAUAAAGUAAAAGAUAGGCCCUUCGCAGAGGGAAGCAGAGGUUGUCAUGUGCUUUUAGGAUUGGAUGCACAAAAUCUUAAUGCUAAAGAACGUCACUUUAUAUUGCCACUUGUGAUAUGAACUUUUGUUAUGCAGUCCGUCGCUUUUAUUACUUCCAUAUCACAAGAUCGUAUAAAGCUUAUUUUCUCCGCACUAAUAAGUCGUACAUAUUUAGAGAGCAAUUUUUAUUGCUUGCAACAUGACAACUUACUUGAAGGAUCUUACUCAAUCCGGUAGGUAUGGUGGACUCUCAUGGCAAAACUAGGUUUAAGGAUAUUUGGAAGCACAAGUAGUAUCUCUACUUCGUGCAAGGAAUUUGGCUAGCAAGAGGGGGAAAGGCAAGCUCAACAUGUUUGAAUGAUCCAUGACAAUAUACUUUAACUGAGAUGUGAGAAAACAUAACUCAUUAUGUUGUCUUCCUUGUCCAACAUCAACUCUUUAGCAUGUCAUACUUUAAUGAGUCCUCACAAUCAUAAAAGAUGUCCAAGAUAGUAUAUUUGUAUGUGAGAACCUCUCUUUCUUUAUUACUUCCUAUUAAUUGCAACAAUGACCAAAACUAUGUUUGCCAACUCUUAACAACUUUUAAUCAUCAUACUCUCUAUAUGUGAAGUCAUUACUAUCCAUAAGAUCAAUAUGAUCUCUUUUAUUUCUUUUUAUUCUUUUAUGCACUUAAGAUCAUAGCAAGAUAGCAAAGCCCUUGACUCAACACUAAUAUUUAUUAUAUAAAGCUCAAGGACUCGAUUACAUAGAGGGAUCUCAAAGCAAAACUCAAAACUAAUUCAUACCAAAACUUUAUUCUACUAGAUCAAGAUAUUACCAAAAGGAUUGAACUAAAUGAAAACGGUAAAGAUAGGAGUGUGAUGGUGAUACGAUACCGGGGCACCUCCACCAAGCUUGGCAGUUGCCAAGGGGAGUGCCCAUACCCAUGUGAUUAUGUCCUCGGAGGUGGUGAUGAUGUAGGUGAUACAUCUCCAACGUAUCUACUUUUCCAAACACUUUUGCCCUUAUUUAGGACUCUAACUUGCAUGAUUUGAAUGAAACUAACCCAGACUGACGUUGUUUUCAGCAGAAUUGCCAUGGUGUUAUUUUUGUGUAGAAAUAAAAAGUUCUCAGAAUGUCCUGAAAAUCCACGGAGGAACUUUUCAGAAAAUAUAAACAAUACUGGCGAAAGAAUCAAGGCUAGGGGCCCACACCCUAUCCACGAGGGUGGGGGCGCGCCCCCCUGCCUCGUGGCCCCCUGGAGCUCCACCGACCUCAACUCCAACUCUAUAUAUUCCCUUUCGCGGAGAAAAAAAUCAGGGAGAAAGUUUCUUCGCGUUUUACGAUACGAAGCCGCCGCCAAGCCCUAAUCUCUCUCGGGAGGGCUGAUCUGGAGACUGUUCGGGGCUCCGGAGAGGGGGAUUCGUCGCCGUCGUCAUCAUCAACCAUCCUCCAUCACCAAUUUCAAGAUGCUCACCGUCGUGCGUGAGUAAUUCCAUCGUAGGCUUGCUGGACGGUGAUGGGUUGGAUGAGAUUUACCAUGUAAUCAAGUUAGUUUUGUUAGGGUUUGAUCCCUAGUAUCCACUAUGUUCUGAGAUUGAUGUUUCUAUGACUUUGCUAUGCUUAAUGCUUGUCACUAGGGCCCAAGUGCCAUGAUUUCAAAUCUGAACCUAUUAUGUUUUCAUGAAUAUAUGUGAGUUCUUGAUCCUAUCUUGCAAGUCUAUAGUCACCUAUUAUGUGUUAUGAUCCGACAACCCCAAAGUGACAAUAAUCGGGAUAAUUCUCGGUGAUGACCGUAGUUUGAGGAUUUCAUGUAUUCACUAAGUGUUAAUGCUUUGGUUCGGUAAUCUAUUAAAAGGAGGCCUUAAUAUCCCUUAGUUUCCAUUAGGACCCCGCUGCCACGGGAGGGUAGGACAAAAGAUGUCAUGCAAGUUCUUUUCUAUAAGCACGUAUGACUAUAUUCAGAAUACAUGCCUACAUUACAUUGAUGAACUGGAGCUAGUUCUGUGUCACCCUAUAUUAUAACUAUUACAUGAGGAAUCACAUCCGACAUAAUUAUGCAUCGCUGAUCCAAUGCCUACGAGCUUUUCACAUAUUGUGCUUUGUUUAUUUACUUUUCCGUUGCUACUGUUACAAUUACUACAAAACUGUUAUCAUUACUUUUGCCACUGUUACCAUUACUAUCAUACUACUUUGCUACUAAAUACUUUGCUGCAUAUUUAAGAGUAUUAGUUAAUGGUUUAAGCUCAAACACGGGAUCACCCUUGGGUGGAGGGGGAUCCCCUAGGAUUUCGACAGGCAAGUUGUGUUUCAAAAUAGGACCCUGUUUAAAGAAUACUUCAUCUAUCUCCCUUCUUUCAUUCAUAAACAUAUCAUUUUCAUGGUCUAGCAAAUAUUGUUCUAAAGGAUCGCUAGGAGGCACGGAAAUAGAAGCAAGACCAAUUAUUUCGUCCUUACUAGGCAAUUCUUUAUCAUGGGGUUGUCUACGAAAUUUAGCAAAAUUAAACUUAUGUGUCAUAUCCCCCAAACCAAUAGUAACAACAUCCUUUUCGCAAUCUAUCCUAGCAUUAACAGUGUUCAAGAAGGAUCUACCAAAUAUAAUGGGACAAAAGUCAUCUUGUGGGGAACCAAGAACAAGAAAAUCAGCAGGAUAUUUAACUUCCCACACAAGACUUCAACAUCUCUAACAAUCCCAAUUGGUGAAAUAGCAUUUCUAUUGGCAAGCUUAAUUGUAACAGCAAUAUCUUCUAUCUCAGCAGGUGCAAUGUCAUGCAUGAUUUAUUUAUAUAAGGAAAGAGGUAUUGCACUGGCACUAGCACCCAUAUCACAUAAGCCAUGAUAACAAUGAUCUCCUAUUUUAACAUAAAUAAUAGGCAUGCCUACAACAGGUCUAUGUAUCUUAGCAUCGGGUCUAGCAAUAUUAGCAACUUCAUCACAGAAAAAAAUAACAUGCCCAUCAAUAUUAUCGGCCAAGAGAUCUUUAACCAUAGCAAUACUAGGCCCAACUUUAAUUUGCUCAGGAGGUGUAUAUGUUCUAGUAUUACUCUUACGAACCACAGUUGAAGCUUUAGCAUGAUCCUUUACCCUAACAGGGAAAGGUGGUUUCUCAACAUAAGUAGUAGGAACAAUAGGAUCAUUAUAAGUGAUAAUCUUUUCUUCAACUGUAACAGGUGUAACUACUUUUACUUCAGUGGGAGAAUUAUAUUUAAACCACUUCUCCUUAGGGAGAUCAACGUGAGUAGCAAAUGAUUCACAGAAAGAAGCUACUAUCUCAGAGUCAAGUCCAUAUUUAGUGCUAAAUCCACGAAAAGCAUCGGUAUCCAUAAAAGAUUUAACACAAUCAAACUUAGGUGUCAUACCUGACUCCUUACCAUCAUCGGAAUCCCAAUCUUCAGAGUUGCGUUUAAUUCUUUCCAAUAAAUCCCACUUGAAUUCAAUAGUCUUCAUCAUAUAAGAACCAGCACAAGAAGUAUCGAGCAUGGUGCAAUCAUUGAGAGAAAGCCGAGCAUAAAUUUUUUGAAUAAUCAUUUCUCUUGAGAGCGCAUGAUUGGGGCAUGAAUAUAACAUUGACUUAAGCCUCCCCCAAGCUUGGGCGAUGCUUUCUCAUUCGCGAGGCCAAAAAUUAUAUAUAUAAUUACGAUCACGAUGAACAAGAUGCAUAGGAUAAAACUUCUGGUGAAAUUCCAAUUUCAAUCGUUUAUAGUCCCAGGAUCCCAUAUCAUCACAUAGCAUAUACCAUGUCAAUGCGUCUCCCUUCAAAGAUAAAGGGAAAACCUUCUUCUUAACAACAUCAUCGGGCAUACCUGCAAGCUUAAAUAAUCCACAAACUUCAUCCACAUAGAUAAGAUGUAAAUCGGGAUGCAAUGUUCCAUCUCCUACAAAGGGAUUAGCUAGCAGUUUCUCUACCAUACCCGAAGGAAUUUCAAAGUAAACAUUUUCAGUAGAUUCAGUAGGUUGAGGAGCAGCACUUUGCUCUACUGGUAGGGGUGAAGAUACCCCAAACAAGCCCCUCAAAGGAUUAGUUUUGAUAAUAACAAGUGACAAUAAAUUUCAGCACACUAUAUAAAUGUUUCCUUACCAAGUUCCACUCACCAAAGGCGCUUCACUCGCCGGCAACGGCGCUAGAAAAGAGUCUUGAUGACCCACAAGUAUAGGGGAUCUAUCGUAGUCCUUUCAAUAAGUAAGAGUGUCGAACCCAGUGAGGAGCAGAAGGAAAUGACAAGCGGUUUUCAGUAAGGUAUUCUCUGCAAGCACUGAAUUGUAGGUAACAAAUAGUUUUGUGAUAAGAUAAUUUGUAACGGGUAACAAGCAAUGAAAGUAAAUAAGGUGCAGCAAGGUGGCCCAAUCCUUUUUGUAGCAAAGGACAAGCCUAGACAAAUUCUUAUAAUGAGAAAAGUGCUCCCGAGGACACAUGGGAAUUAUCGUCAAGCUAGUUUUCAUCACGCUCAUAUGAUUCGCGUUCGUUACUUUAAUAAUUUGAUAUGUGGGUGGACCGGUGCUUGGGUACUGCCCUUUCUUGGACUAGCAUCCCACUUAUGAUUAACCCCUAUUGCAAGCAUCCGCAACUACAAAAGAAGUAUUAAGGUAAACCUAACCAUAGCAUGAAACAUGUGGAUCCAAAUCAGCCCCUUACGAAGCAACGCAUAAACUAGGGUUUAAGUUUCUGUCACUCUAGCAACCCAUCAUCUGCUUAUUACUUCCCAAUGCCUUCCUCUAGGCCCAAAUAAUGGUGAAGUGUCAUGUAGUCGAUGUUCACAUAACACCACUAGAGGAGAGACAACAUACAUCUCAUCAAAAUAUCGAACGAAUACCAAAUUCACAUGACUACUAAUAGCAAGACUUCACCCAUGUCCUUAGGAACAAACGUAACUACUCACAAAGCAUAUUCAUGUUCAUAAUCAGAGGGGUAUUAAUAUGCAUUAAGGAUCUGAACAUAUGAUCUUCCAUCAAAUAAACCAACUAGCAUCAACUACAAGGAGUAAUCAACACUACUAGCAACCCACAGGUACCAAUCUAAGGUUUCGGUACAAAGAUUGGAUACAAGAGAUGAACUAGGGUUUGAGAGGAGAUGGUGCUGGUGAAGAUGUUGAUGGAGAUUGACCCCCUCCCGAUGAGAGGAUCGUCGGUGAUGACGAUGGUGAUGAUUUCCCCCUCCCGAAGGGAAGUUUCCCCGGCAGAACAGCUCCGCCGGAGCCCUAGAUUGGUUCCGCCAAGGUUCCGCCUCGUGGCGGCGGAGUUUCGUCCCGUAAGCUUGCUUAUGAUUUUUUUUCCAGGGUAAAAGACUUCAUAUAGCAGAAGAUGGGCACCGAAGGGCUGCCAGGUGGCCCACGAGGCAGGGGGCACGUCCAGGGGGUAGGGCGCGCCCCCCACCCUUGUGGCCAGGGUGUGGGCCCCCUCUGGUACUUCUUCCGCUGAAUAUUUAUCACUAAUUCCAAAAAUGACUUUCGUGGAGUUUCAGGACUUUUGGAGCUGUGCAGAAUAGGUCUCCAAUAUUUGCUCCUUUUCCAACCCAGAAUCCCAACUGCCAGCAUUCUCCCUCUUCAUGUAAACCUUGUAAAAUAAGAGAGAAUAGCCAUAAGUAUUGUGACAUAACGUGAAAUAACAGCCCAUAAUGCAAUAAAUAUCGAUAUAAAAGCAUGAUGCAAAAUGGACGUAUCAGUGCACAAGUAGUAUCUCUACUUGGUGCGGAUUUGUGGCUAGCAAAGAUAUUGGGCAAGCACCACAUGUUGGAGGAUAUAUGAAAAUAUAACUUCUAUGUGAAUAUAAGCAAAAUAAUUCUUACAUUGUCUUCCUUCUCCAACCUCAAUAAUUUGGCAUAAAAUACUUAAUGGGGGCUCACAAUCAUAAAAGAUAUCCAAGAUAGUGUGUUUGCAUGUGAAUCUUCUCUUCCCUUAUUAAUUCUUUCGUGAAUUGCAUGCAACAUUGAUAAACUUCAAUAAACUUCUCUUCCCUUAUGCAAACACACUUAUACUUUACCAUAUGAUGCAAACAUAUGAUGCAAUUCACAUAGAAGUUUUAAUGCAAUUCACAUAGAAGUUUUAAUUGCAUCCAAGAUAGUGUGUUUGCAUGUUGUUUUUUAGACCAAUGCUAUGUUUGUCAACCUUCAAUAAGCUUUACCACUUAUACUUUUCCUUACGUAAUGUCAUUACUUUCUAUAAGAUUAACAUAUGAUCUUUUUCAUUAUUUUCAUUGCUAGGAUUGAAACAUAAAAGUAAAGAAGCAAAAACUCAAACUACUCUUUAUUAUAUAACUCUCAACUCGAUUACAUAGAUAGAUAGAUCACGAAACUAGCACUUGAAAAUAGAUCAUACUAAACUUUUAUUCAGCUAAAUCAUGAAAUAACUAAGGAUCGAACUAAAAUAGGUGAAGAUAAUAAAAGUGAUGGUGAUACGAUGCCGGGGCACCUCCCCCAAGGCCAUGGCCCGUUUUGACUGCCCCUUUGCACAAGAUUGAUGCAUACAAGCAAGAACAUUUCUAUGAAUAUUUUGCACUGAAUCUUCCGACUACAGCAAGUAUUACAUUAUAUCUAAGAAAAUACCACCGAUGAUAAAUGGAAUUGUAUGAGAUUUGACAGUUUAUUCUUGAUUAAUUAAUUUCUUUCUUUCUUGAGAAAUUCAAUUAAUUAAUAUCCUUUUCCAGCAUGACGAAGUUGAGAGUGUUUCCUUCCUAACAGAUAGUUCCCACAUGUAUGUGGACAUCCAAUGGUCCCAAGCACCACGAGAUUAGUGGGAUCCUUUCUCAUUAACUUUUGCAUUUAGGACACUAUGCUUAAUAGAAAUUAACCCACAAUCCAACUCUCUCUUCCUCUCACAUCUAUUAAUCCAUGCAUACUUUUGGGUUCAUACUUAGAAAGGGACAUAUACUCUGAACCCUAACACCAAUUUGGGAUCCUUUUCACCAUGGUAUUUCUCUUGGCGAGAUCUUUCAAACAAGACCAAUGUUGAAUAUGUUUCGGACUAAAAAACAUGUUUUAAAAUUGAAAUGCAACAUUGAUAAAAAAACUGAAACCAGAUUUUAUAUAUGCAAGUUUCAUAUGGCUUACAGAGACUUCCAGUGUGGUAUGUUUUUCAGUGGAUAUUCAAAUAUUCAUGUUUUCAAACUCAAAUGAAACAUUUUUUUGAGGGAACUCAAAUGAAACAUUGACGAAACUUUCUGAAACCAACUUUUUCUUAUUGAUUUAACUUCCAUGUGGCUUUGAGUGACUAUCGUUGUGAUUUCAUUAGUUCAUAUAAUUAUACAUGAGUUCAUAUGGCUUUCUCUAAGUUUUCACUAUGAUUUCAUUAUUUCAUAUAGUUUUCUGUAACUUAGUUUCAUGUUAAUUCGUAUUAGCUUGAGUUUUACAUGAGUUUGUGCAAACCUCAUCUUAUUUUUUUUUUUGAAAACUAAUUUAAACCUCAACAAAAUAUGACUGAAACAUCAACAAAAAACGGGUAGGGGAGGGGUGCUAUUGUGCAAAAGCGGAAAGAGUUAACAAUUAAAAUGGUCCAAACGAAACGGGCGUCAUUUAUAAACUGCACAAUUAUGAAGAUUGACCAAGGAACGCCGGGGGGUGUUUCUUUCGGAUCCGGCUUGCCUGCUCCCUUCCCAUGCUCCCACUUCAUCCUACGACUGUCUUUUUUCCUUUUCUCUUUCUAAUCUAAUCAUCUCCCCUCUGAUUUUAAGGGGGUGGGGCCGGACCUUAUUUUGUUCCAAUCAAAACAAGCCACGUAUACGGGAGCACGGAUGGGCACACGCCGGGGGAGCAGGCAAGUCUCGUCCGUUUCUUUCCUUACUCCAUGGAAUCGACAAAACUCCAGCACAUAUAAAGUUAAUGACAGCCUACUUUGCCCGAGGGUGUGUUUCUUUUGGUGGGGCCAGGGAGGAGCCUUUUGUGUAAAAGAGGAAAGAAAUAACCCUACCCAGGCUGCACGCCUACUUAACUAGAACCACGAGGCUCUCGUCACACAACAGAAUUUGCUAACCCCUCCACAAGGCUGCUCUCUCCACAGGAGAACCCCCCACCUCCACCCCCUUUGCAUCUGAUGGUCCCCGGAAAGCUUCCCUCACCGACCUGCGAUCGCGGGCAGAGCAAAUCUUAUGGUAUCUUCAACCACAGAAGCCCUUCGUCACACCGCGGCCACGUUAAUCAAGGAAGGCCGUCGGUGGGACCUACUCCUCUUUCCCGUCGCUUUUCGCCGCGUUUGCGCCGAGGAGACGGUGGUCACGCUGGCCCCAUGGAGUCGUCGGCGUCGCUUCAAGGUGUGAACACCGCCGCUGGCCAGCUGACUCUUCCGCAGCAAGAGAGGGGUAAGAAGCCAAGGGUGGCCGAAAAGGAGGGCGGGGGCCAGCUGGUCCCCACCGAAACCUUGUUUCGAACCACACCGUGCAGUCAGGGCCUUAGGGCUCGAACGGUGGAGAUCUUGGACAGGGCAUACGGGCUGAAGGUGUCAGACGAGAAUCUGGAUGAAUUGUGCUACAACAGGUAUGUGCACAAAGUCAUUUUGCACGGUUGCGUUAUAUGUCAGUACAUCUCCAAGCACUCACUUCUUCUGAGAUUCAUGCAAAUGUAUCGCCCACCUAGAUGUAUAGUACUACUAUGUUUCUUGUAUCUUUCUUUUUAGUCAAACUGGCAUCAACUUUAUGUGCCCAAAGUACACUUUCUGUUAGGGAAGGUACACAUGCAGCUCUUUCCUCUCUAUCUACCCACAGAACAAAUCCAUAGACUUUAUUUCAUCAUAGACAAUUUAAAUCUUUUAAACUAUAGACUCGUUUGUGAAACUUUUUAUAUAUUUGGACUCCUGGCAUCAAGAACUUUAGAACUAGACCAAUUCUGGAUACAUUUCAAACACAUUUAAAUUUCGACGUUUCACAUUUCACAUGUGAAAUUAACCAAUUUCACUAGAAAAAAUAUGAAACAAACUUAUUUCACUAGAAAUAUGUGAAAACAACUUUUUUCACAUAUAAAAUGUUAACUUGUGAAACUAAUUAUUUGGAAAUGAAGAACAUUUUAUUUCAAAAGAGCAAAAUAUGUUAUUUCAAAAAUUUGCAAUUGAAAUAGAUGUGAUUUUUGUGCAACAAGCGAGUGAAAAGUGAACGCACCUUCUGAAAGUGAAAAAAAAAGUGAAAUUAAAUCUCAACUUGUGGAAUAGGAAUUUUUGAAAUGUGUAACGGUUUAUUUUAAAAGAGUGAAAUAUGUUAUUUCAAUAAUGUGAAAUUGAAAUAGAUGUGAUUUUUGCGAAGCACCCCAGUGCAAAGUGAAAUGUAGGUUCUGAAAGUUAAAAGUAAUAUGAAGUGAAAUGACAACUUGUGAAACUGACUAUUUCAAAAUGUGUAAAAGUUUAUUUCAAAAGUGUGAAACAUGUUAUUUAUAAAAUGUGUAAUUGAAAUAUAUGUGAUUUUUGUGAAACAAGCCAGAGAAAAAUGAAAUGUAGGUUCUGAAAGUGGAAACCAGUAUGAAUCUGAAAUAUCAACUUGUGAAAUCAAUUUUUUUCAAAAUGUGAGAUGGUUUAUUUUAAAAUAGUGAAAUAUGUUCUUUCAAAAAUGUGCAAUUGAAAUAGAUAUGAUUUUUCUGAAACACGGUGGAAAGUGAAAUGUAAGUUGUGAUAGUGAAAAACAACAUAAACUAAAAUAUCAACUUGUGAAAAUGAUUGAAAUCAUUUUAUUCAAAAUGUUUCAAGUGAGUGAAAUAUGUUUCAUGAUUUUUCAACUCAUUUAAAAUGUAUUCAAAUUCGGUCUUCUUUGAAAGGUCUUUGCGACAUGAGUUCAAAUAUAUAAAAAGUUUUGAAAUUGGAAUAUUGGUUUAAAAGAUAUGAACAAUUUAAGUUAGCAAACAUAAAAUAAAUGGAUGGGCUUGUUUGGGGGAAGGAAGAGAGAGAAUGGCAGCGCAUGGAUGCAACCGUGAUGUACCAUCUGACAGAAAAGUAUGGGGAUCAUCUGACAUACGCAGAGUGUAUUGCAGUGUAUUUCAUAUGAAAAGUCAUUCACGGUUAUACAUUUUCUGGCAGAUGAAUCUUGAGCACUUAAUAAACGGCCAGAGAUCUGCCGCUACCUGGCCUUAACGCGCAAUUUUCCGUUUUGCAGGUAUGUGCAGCGCGCGCAGGAAAUCAUGUGCCGGGAAGCCAGCGAGCCGGGUUUUCCUUUGGUUGGAGGAAACCCCUUUUCAUCAAAAAAGGCUAACGAGCCGGCCGUCUCCGGCCAGCGCGUCGCGGCCAAGAUUCCCAAGGGAAAGGAGCCCGUAACACAUUAUGUACUCGAGUCAGCUGAAGUGCCAGCACCCCACAUCAACCUUAUCAUCGUGAGCGACGACGACGACGAGGAGGAGGAGGAGGCUAACAAGGUCGCCGCUGAGACCAACAAAUCCUCCGUGAACAUCGUGGAUCCUCGUGCGGCAGCAGCUGUGGCGAUUGCGCCAGUCCUUCCUGCUGCGACUUCUGCGCCGUCUCCAAUUACCCCGGCGGCCGGGAUGCCUAUGGCCUUUGCAACAGAUUCGGCUACCCGUGCUACUUAUGGCCAUGGCAAUGGCGCCGCCGGCGUCUGCGCACGUGGGAUCAAAAGGCCACACGCUCAUGAUGCAACCUUUGCACCGGCUCCGGGCGCGGGGGCGCCAGUGGCCUUUGCACCAGCUCUGGCUACCCCUGCUGCUUCCGAUCAUGGGAACAUGGGCAGGAUGGCCCAGGAACUGCAGGACAUCGAGGCCGUAUCCGCCUCCAUGGCCCGGACCCAGACGAUAUAUCGCCGCUCGGUGAGCGCCAGGUCGAACCUGCCACGGUGGGGGUGUCAGAGCCUUCGAACCCCCACGACCCGCUCGGCUCCUGCACAUUGCGGUUUGCUGAUGAAACGCAACACGACGGGGCCAGCCCCUGCCUAUGCUGGUUCCUCAUACCGUGCCCCUGCGGCUAACAUAAGCAGCUCCGCUCCCGGUUCUUCAUCCCGUGCCCCUCCUGCUAAAAUCACCAGCUUCGCUCCGGGCUCCUCAUUCCGUGCCCUUCCUGCUAACAUCAGCAGCUCCGCCCCUCCUGCUAACAUCAGCAGCUUCGCUCAGGGCUCCUCAUCCCGUGCCCCUCCUGCUAAAAUCACCAGCUUCCCUCUGGGCUUCUCAUCCCGUGCCCCUCCUGCUAAAAUCAUCAGCUCUGCUCCGGACUCCUCAUUCCAUGNNNNNNNNNNNNNNNNNNNNNNNNNNNNNNNNNNNNNNNNNNNNNNNNNNNNNNNNNNNNNNNNNNNNNNNNNNNNNNNNNNNNNNNNNNNNNNNNNNNNNNNNNNNNNNNNNNNNNNNNNNNNNNNNNNNNNNNNNNNNNNNNNNNNNNNNNNNNNNNNNNNNNNNNNNNNNNNNNNNNNNNNNNNNNNNNNNNNNNNNNNNNNNNNNNNNNNNNNNNNNNNNNNNNNNNNNNNNNNNNNNNNNNNNNNNNNNNNNNNNNNNNNNNNNNNNNNNNNNNNNNNNNNNNNNNNNNNNNNNNNNNNNNNNNNNNNNNNNNNNNNNNNNNNNNNNNNNNNNNNNNNNNNNNNNNNNNNNNNNNNNNNNNNNNNNNNNNNNNNNNNNNNNNNNNNNNNNNNNNNNNNNNNNNNNNNNNUAACAUCAACAGCUCUGCCCCUCCUGCUAACAUCAGCAACUCCGCUCCGGGCUCCUCAUCCCGUGCCCCUCAUGCUAAAAUCACCAGCUCUGCUCUGGGCUCCUCAUCCCGUGCCCCUCCUGCUAAAAUCAGCAGCUCCGCUCCGGGCUCCUCAUUCCGUGCCCUUCCUGCUAACAUCAGCAGCUCCGCUCCAAGCUCCUCAUCCUGUGCCUCUCCUGUUAACAUCAGCAGCUCCGCUCCGGGCAUGGCUACGCCGGAGCAAGGGAACGGGAAUCGUGGCUUCAUCCGCCUCUUCGGCGUCAACAUUGCCCAGCAGGAGUAGGCGAUACUUCUGCAAGCGCUACCGGAGGCUUGCAGCUCAGCAUGCUAGUCCCUUAGCUCGCUCAUGAUUUCCCGCUGCUGAUUCUCAGUCAGUGCGGCAAAAUAGUAUCUUUGCUUCCGUUAUUUACUUUCGAGAUGAUUACAUUGGUUCAGAUUUUACAUAGUUCGUUCAUACUAGAGCUUUUAGCCUGUAUGUAGGCUUUCCAGAUUUAUCGGUUUUAUGAACUAUUUCAAGUUUGAUUCUAGGGUUCAUACCAGAGCUUGUAGCCUUGUAGGCGUUCCAGAUCAACCAGUUGUAUGAAUCACUUCGGUUUAGAUUCUAGAGUUCAUACAGGAGCCUGUAGCCUUUUGGCUUUCCAGAUGUAAUCAGGUGUAUGAAUUAUCUCAUGGAAUAAAGUUAUAAGAGUUGUUUGAAUAACGUAUCUCUCGAAACAAGCUUUUGUCCAACUUUAUAUAUAGAGCCCAAACAGCCGAACCGAUACAAAGGUGGUGGGAAAACAGAGCUGUGAGAGUUGGGAAACAAAGUUGCCAGAGUAUUCAGUAUGCACUGUUGUCUUACUCUCUGAAUGUACAUCAAGUGUAUCAAAAAUAAUCAAGCUGUUCUACUUGAACCUCUCCUUGUAUACAGCACAGAUGCAAAUUAAGUGGAAACCUUUUGAUGUCUAAGAAUAUAACUACACUUUUUUGUGGAACAUGAGCAUCAGUUAGAUCUUAGAAGUAUACGUAUUUACAUCCCUGAUGAUGAUGAUGGCAUAUGCAAGUGAUUGAGUAAGCGGUACCAAGGUCCGAGGGUCA
RNAcentral lists this long non-coding RNA (62197 nucleotides) under Triticum aestivum (bread wheat). Its description in RNAcentral is "long non-coding RNA (TAES_LNC002931)". The record is from RNAcentral. Lineage: Eukaryota; Viridiplantae; Streptophyta; Magnoliopsida; Poales; Poaceae.